This 57183-nucleotide long non-coding RNA is filed under the name Solanum lycopersicum (tomato). Its description in RNAcentral is "long non-coding RNA (SLYC_LNC000053)". The record is from RNAcentral. Lineage: Eukaryota; Viridiplantae; Streptophyta; Magnoliopsida; Solanales; Solanaceae.
UUAUGUUGUGCAGGUGUUGAGUCAAUUUAUGCACAAGCCUAAGCAAUCUCAUAUGGAGGCAGCUCUAAGGGUGGUCCAAUAUGUCAAAGCUGAACCAGGUUUUGGACUGUUAAUGCCUUCAGAAAGCUCACGCAAACUAGUAACCUAUUGUGACUCUUAUUGGGGUGGAUGUCUUGAGUAUAGGAGAUCAGUUACAGGGUACACUAUGAAGUUUAGUGAUGCCUUAAUAUCCUGGAAAUCCAAGAAAUAGGAGACAGUAGCAAGGAGCUCUGCAGAAGCUGAGUUCAGAGCCAUGGCAUCUAAAGUUGCUGAAAUAACCUGGCUGGAAGGUUUGUACAAAGAGCUAGGAGUUGAUAUCAAACAACCUAUACAGUUGUUUUGUGAUAGCAAAGUUGCAAUUCAAAUUGCUGCUAAUCCAAUAUUUCAUAGAAGAACUAAACAUAUUGACAUUGACUGUUAUUUGUAAGAGAAAAUAUUGUUCAACGACUGAUUCAAACACUGCAUGUAUCGACAAAGGAAUAACUGUCUGAUCUGCUCACUAAGAGCUUGGGAAGACUGUAGAGUUAGUUUGCACGAUAAUUAUUCUAGAAGCAGUUAGAAGGUUAGAAGGUUGUAAGAGGUAGUUAGCACAAUAGCUUUCUUUUAUGUAGACAUAGCAAUGUAAAGAUUUUUUUAAUGGCUUUCAGAUUAAUGAGAAUUAGUUCUCCUUCUACAUAAUUCUCUGUAUCUUCUUUUUUCUGAUUCUUUGCAUCUCCUUGAUGGUGAUUACUUCAUAAGUUUUCACUUAAACAUCAACGCUAAAAAAAGAGACGUGAUAGAGUAGUAAAUACUUCUCCAUUCAUAAUUAGAGAUUUUGAGUUUGAAGUUUUUAGAUACAAUGUUAUUUUUAUUAGGAAACAAUUUACUUUUAAUAUGAAAUUUUUGAUGCAAAUUUAAUUUUAAUCAAUUUCAAAUAUAAAUAUCGAAUAUCAAGUCAAAAAUAAAAAAAAUACCCUUCAUUAUUUUGUUGGCAUAACACCACGUUUAUGGUUUAAAGUGCUCCACAUGUGUGAUGUUUAUGACUCAUCAGCGCCACAUCAACAUGCAACAUAUUAAAAAUACAAUUUAUGAAAAUUGAAUUUUUUUCCCUUUUUUCCAUGCUACCACAAACUUAAAUUACCAUUUAAUUACGAUUUUUCCCAAAAUAUAUUUAAUUGUAUGAAUAUUUUUUCAUAUAAGCAUAAAUUAAAUUAAACCCUUUAUGUAAUUGUAGCUUCUUUUGCCACCUUCCUAGGUUGGGACAGUGAUGGUAAAUUGAAUACUUCUUAUUAAGAAUAUAAAUUAAAAAUUUAUAUAUAUAUAUAUAUAUAUAUAUAUAUAUAUAUAUAUUUUUUUUUUUAAAAUUUUUUAUAAAAAAUUCUGAUUUCACCAAAAAAAACAAAAGUGAUACAAAGCCUGAGUAUAUUUUCCAUUUCCUUUAAUUUCUCAAUAGAAUUAUCUUAUUCGUGGUACUUGUAGAAAUAGUACAUUAAAAAAAGAAAAGAAAAAGUAACACUUCUAGUAUACUCUAUUUGUUUUAGAAAUUUCAAACACAGUACGAGAUGACUAAUUUUUUAUUUUUGUUUUGAAAAUAAUUGUGUUCAGAAAAUUAAAUAAUAGACAAUUUUUCAAAUGCACAUGAGAAUAAUUUGAAUAUUAAUUUAUUUAUGUUUUUAGCCAGCACUUUUUGAAUUUGUUAUAUAUUCCCCAACUUGUAGUUUACUAGUAGUAUUUUUAUAAUAAUCCCACUUAGAUACAACAAUUAAAAAGUGUAAGAAAUAAAUAAAUGUAUCACUGAAAAUUAUCUCUUCAUAGUUGCAUAUGCAAAUUUAAUCAUUGAAUAUAGAAUUUAUUUCCUUUUAUAUUUUAGAAGACAUAAUUGUUUUGAUUCAAGAAUUGAUAAACACGUUAAGAUGAAUUAUAUAAGUAAAAUAAGUAGACGUACAUAGUUUAUUUAUUACUAUCUGCUUUAAUCUUCAAAGUAGUGUAAAGCCCCUUUUUUUUUAAAAAAGAAUAUAUUAUUCGUUCUUUAAUUUAUCGAUAUAAUCCGCUUAUUAUGCAUUAUUUUUUUAGCUCUUAGGGAUAAUGUAUAAGUACCCCUCAAUCUAUGCUCGAAAUUUUAGAGAUACACUUAUAUUAUAUUAAGGUCCUAUUAUCCCCUGAACUUAUUUUGUUAAUAAUUUUCUACCCGUUUUCAACCUACAUCACACUAUCUUGUGGGUUCAAUGUUGGUUGACUUUUUUUCAAGUUAGUACCACAUAGGCCUAAAAGGGGUAGAAAAUUACUUAUAAAAUAAGUUCAGAGGGUAAUAAGACCUUAUAAUAUAAGUGUAUCUCUGUGAUUUCGGAAAUAGAUUGAGGGGAUACUUGUGCACUUUCCUUAAUUUUUAUUAUGAGUCUUUAUUACAACCACAUAUAUGUCUUUAAGUUACUUGGUAGCUAUGCCUCUCAAUUUUGGGUGUAUACAAUAGAUACUUAAAUUUGAAUAGAAUUAAAUAAAUAAAUACACAUGUCUUAGUUAUCGUCCUACGUAGCAAUUCACAUCCUAUGAAGCAUCAUAUGUGUACUAUAUCACGCAGGGGCAGACUCACCCUCAGGCAAGGAGUGUUUCGUCAGAAAAUUACAUUAUAUAUUGAGGUCAAAUUUAGUAUAAUAAAUAUAUAUACACAUAAGUAUUAACACUUCUUGGCACAAGUUAAAGUUUAAGUUUAAUGAUUAAGAUGUGAAAAUUUCUUGAGGUUGUGUUUUAGUCGAAUUAGCCUCAUUUUAUAUUGUUUACUAUAAUAUUGAUCCCCCUUAAUGACAAUCCUGAAUUCGCUAUCAAGUAGCUUAAAUUAAAAAGUAUAUAUUUAUAUAUUAUGUCAAAAAUAAUGAACUAUUUUCUUUGUCCUUAUUUACUCGUUCAUUUUUUACUUGACACACCAAUUAAGAUUAUAACAAUUGACAUAGUGAGUUUACCAUUUAACCCUUAUUAAUUGAUAGAAUUUCCAAAAUCAAUUUACUCAUUAAACGGGUUAUGCCUUUUUUUAAAAACAUUAACUCUCAAAUAAAUUAAGGACAUAACAAAUAAAAAAUAUUAUCAUAAUUUGUUAAAAAUGACGUGUAAAAAAAAUAAUAGGAGUAAUAUUUUGAAAUCAAAGACAUAAUACAUAAGCAUGACCUUCAAGUUGGCUGACCAACUUACAUAAAAUCAAACAAAUAGACACGUUCGUCCUACGUGACAUCUUACAUGACAAUUGUGAUCUACGAGUAUUUAUCAUAUACAACAUGUAUACUUACUUUUUAAUUUUAUAUCAAUUCAAGUAUCUAUAUUCAUACUUCUAAUUAAAUAAAAUAUAAUUAUUCACUAAAAUUAAGUUAAGAAUCUUAUUCAUAUAUCACGCCAAAAUUAAAUAGAAAUGCAAAAUGGGGUCCAAAUGGUACGCACACGAAACAAAUAGAAAUACUAUUAAAUGAAGUUAAAAGAUGGUGUAGGUUAAUAAACAAUUAUAUAAAAGACUCAUUCCGCGUUCUCCGUGUCGGCAUUUUAACGAAACAUCCCAAAAACGGCACCUUUCACUUCCCUCACAUUUAAUAUUUAAUAUGUAUUCUUCUUCUUUUUAUAUAUAUUCACACUUAUUUUUAUUUAUAUUUUGACUUUCACACUUUGAUUUAUCACUAGUAUCAACUUUUGUUUUGUUGCCCCACUUGUUUGUUUUUUUAAGAAGAAAAAAAUCAUAUAUGGACCGACUCUUUAUUUGGCGGGCGUUUCUUUUCUUAAUAAUUAAAAAACAUUGUUUUUAAUUUUGUCAACUUGUUGUGUUUAUAUAUAAGAACUACAAACACACAUUUACAUUAUUAUAAUUCUAAUCUAAUAGUUCAUUGUUCUUGUCAACUUUUGCAAAAAUAAACAUUUCAUAUAUACAAAUAUACAUGUGUAAUAUUGUUCACUACAAGGUGGCGAAUUCGAAUGAUAACAGGAGUAGUAGACAAGACGAUGAAGGGAUUAAUGUGUUUAAUACGAUGUUUCAAGGGAAUAUUAAUAGAGAAGAAGAAAUGUCUGUUAUGGUUUCUGCAUUAACUCGUGUUGUUGUUGGUAAUCAUCCUAGUGAAAAUAUCGAAAAUCAUCAUCAAAAUAAUACAUUGAUUUCUAGGGGUGUUGGAGAAAAAAGAGGACGUGAUGAAGUAUUAUUACAUGGAACUAAUUCUUCUCAUAUGAUAUUAUCAUCAGGUAAUUUUAUUUUUCUUUCCCUUGAUAAGUAAUGAUCGAUGUAAAUAUAAGAUAGUUACGAACUCAAGAGUAAAUUUAAACUCCUUAUUUUGUGGUUUAUUCAUUUAGCUAUAGCUUAACUUUGACUAAUUCAGAUUUCGGAAAAUCUCAAGUAAUCAAUCUUUUUAUUUAUGAUGUAUAUUUACAUUUUUAGCACAUGUCUACAUCUUUUAAAUUGUUGCAUUUGUCCUUUUGUUUUUAUAUGGAAUGUUUUUGCAUAUGACAAACAGUCUUUCUAUCUCUGAUCAGGGAUCUAGAAUUUUCAUUAAGAGAUGAUGAGUCCAUGCAUUAUAUUGAGUAUGUUGUUAUGGGUAUUGAUACUAAAUUAUGUUAUAUAGGUGGUGAAGGUUCAAGCAUUAGGACAACAAGAGAAGCAACAUUCAUAUACACUAAUUCAACAAACAAUAGCAUUAUUGAUGAAUCUGUUAAUAAUCAAGUAAGACGACGAUACAGAGGAGUUAGACAGAGGCCAUGGGGGAAAUGGGCAGCUGAAAUAAGAGAUCCAUAUAAAGCAGCGCGUGUUUGGUUAGGUACUUUUGAUACUGCUGAAGGGGCUGCUAGAGCUUAUGAUGAAGCUGCUCUUACAUUUAGAGGUAGUAAAGCAAAACUAAAUUUCCCAGAAAAUGUUACAUUAUUAGUGCCUUCUUCAAUUCAACAACCCAUUUACUCCUCACCCGACCCAGCCAUUUCUCCGUAUCGUUCCAAUUUUAUUAUUGGACAUACCUCUACGGAAGUGGAGCCUAUACUUCACACCAAUCCUUCAAAUUUUAUUGAGCCUAUAGCUCACACUUCAUCUCUGUAUCGUUCCAAUUUUAUUGAACGGAAUCAUCACAUGGUGCAGCAGGAGCCGUAUUUUCAGGCAGGUAGUACUAGUGGUGGAAGUGAUUUUCAUCAAACUACAAAUUCUUCUAAUUCGUCAAUUUAUGAUCACCCUUCUUCUUCAUCUGGAUAAUUUUUGUUGUACUACUAGAAUAUCUUUUUCAUCUUCCUAGAAGAUUUUGACUAGCUAAUAGUGAUUUUUCUUUUAAAGGAAUGUAUUGGUGGCCCCACAUAAAUGAGGUCCUUUUAUUUUCUUGCAUAACAGUCUUUAAUUUGACUUUUGUUGGUAUUCGUGACGUUUAAUUUUACAUUUACGUGUGUAAUAGUAAAUUUCUAAUUUUGUAUAAAAUUGAAUAAAUAGAAAUGCACGCCCUACGAAUGCAUGUAACAUGCCGUAUGUAGGACGCCAGGUAGGAUGUAUGUGUUUAUUUAUUCAAUUUUACAUAAAUUUAAGUGUCUACUUGUACACACUUAAAGUUGAAAAAUAUAAAUACCAAUUGAAGACAAGUUAAUUGAUCUAUUUAUAUAUUAUGUUUUUUUCUUCUUCAUAUUUUCGGAUGUAUUUAAGUGAGAGGAAGUUCAGAAAUAAAAAUAAAAAGUUGAAAGAACUAAAUAGUUUUUUUUGUUGUGAAUUUACUACUCAUCCUUUUUAUUUAUAAUCAUAUAUGAUGUUUGUAACACUUGUAGGCAUCAAUAUAUAUUAUGAAGAAUGUCAAAUUUUACUAUAAUGUUAUAUACUAAUACCGGCCAUGCCAAUAUUUUUAUUUGUCACCCUAUGGAAGUAUACAAUUUCACCAAAGUUAAAACAUUUGAAAUUUUUUACUUAAUUCACUGUUCAUUAUAUUGUCAUGUAUAUAUAUACUUAGAGGCAGAUCUAAAAUUUUAUAGGAUAGAUGCAUUAUGAUUAAAAAAAAAAAGAAAAGAAAGUGGAUCUGAAAUUUAUAUUCAAACAAAUUUAGUAUUUAGGUUCUUACGAUUAGCUCAUUUCAUUUUAAAUUAUAGGAGUAAAAUUAAGAUUAAAUUCUUCAUACCAUUUAAAUAACUUCAAGAUAGGGACAGUUUCUUAAUGUUAAUGAUAAAUUCGAUGACGAUAUAAUAUUUUUGAAAUCAAUUAUGCUUAAGGAAGCACCAAUUGUGUCUAGAAUUCUUCUCAAUUUUUUUGUGAAGUUCGAGAAGACACCAGAACUUUUGUAAAAAAGUUUGAGAUGAGUUUCAAUUAGAUUCAAAUUUAUAAUAAAAAUAACUACAAUCAUAUUUCACUAAAUUUCAUAAUGUUAAAAAGUUAUUACUUUAUAAUAUUAAUGAAAUUAUAUAUUUAUAUAAGAAUCUUCCAAAAAUAUAUUAUCCUUUUAUCUUAUAGAAAUCAGUAUUUUCUCAUUAACCUAAGCCAAGAUUGAAAUCUAGAAGCUCACAUUUCAUGUCACGUGCAUUAUUAGUUUGACUAAUUGUGGUCUUACUAUUUGUACUUACGAACAAAGCACGUGCCCUAAGUCAAUUUAAUUCGAAUUAAUAAUAUUCUAGACGAAUAAAAAAUUCAAAAAAGAAAAUCACAUACAAUAUAAGAAUCAUUAUAAAACUUCUAGAACUUGAAGAACAUUUCCCCUCAAAUUUAUUCCAUUUCAAGUUUGGUGUGUUAAUAUGGCCUUGUAAUAAAGAUUCUAUUAGUCGGAUCAAGGUCAACAAUUCAAAUUUAAUAAUAAAAUUCCUAUGAUAGGAUAAUAUUCUUUUCAUAUCGACUAAUAGAAUUUUAAACAUUUCAUUCAUGUAAUACAAUAUAUCUAUGUAUAUGUUACUUCAACAAAAAAUUUCAUGUAUACGUCCAUGAAUAACACGUUUUUGUGUAAGACAUGAGCAUGAUAAGUGUAAUUAGUUAAAAGUAAAAGGAUAUUUUUAAGAUUGUCAAUAGUUCGAGGAUAGACUAUAACAUAAAUAAUUUUUUGCGAUAACAAAUAUACACAUUAAUAAAUAGUGCUAAAUUCUUUAUUGGUAUUAGUUAAUUGUUAUUGGACUCAAUGUCGCUAAAGAUUUUUGAGACAUAUAUAAAGAGUGAUAUGCCGGUAAAAAUACAUAUUUAGUGACAAUUAUGCUAUCACUGUUAAUUAAUUGCCGCUAAAGAUUAUUUUUGAUGUACUUGUUAAGAUCUUCAACAAGAAGCAUGGGCAGCCAUUGAUGAAGCUGCAAACUUCCCCAGACGAGACUGAGGAUAAAAGCUACAAUGCAAGGCUUUGAGAUUGAAUUGUGAAAAGUUUGAUUACCUUCAUUCAUCACUCAUGAGGUGUAUAUAUACAUGUGAUUAGAUGGAUCAAACUAGUGGAAAGAAAAUAACUAACUAACUAACUAGUUUGUUAUGUAACUAACUAUUACAAUACUAACUAUAAAAUGGAAAUACAACUAACUAACCAACUUGGAAGGAAUAAGUAAUGUACAUGAAUUAAUUAUGAAUGUUAAUACCCCUCCUCAAGUUGGAGGUGAAGAUUUCACAGCCAACUUGUGUAAGAUGGCUGAAUGUUUGAUGCCAGUGAGGGUCUUGGUAAGGAUGUCUGCAAGCUGAUUGGAAGUAGACACAUGAUGCAAAGAAAUCAACCCCUCCUGAAGUUUAUCACGCACGAAGUGACAAUCCACCUCAAUGUGUUUAGUUCUCUCAUGAAACACAGGAUUACGAGCAAUAUGGAUGGCAGAUUGACUAUCACAAUGAACACUAAUAGGAGAGGAAAUAGAGACAAUUAACUCAGUAAGUAAUCUAUGAAUCCAAGUUAGUUCUCCUACAACUUUUCUGAGUGAUCUAUACUCUGCUUCUGCUGAUGACAAGGAGACUGUCUCUUGUUUCUUAGACUUCCAGCUGAUAGGGCUGUUCCCAAGUAGCACUAAAUAGCCACUGACUGAUCUCCUUGAAUCUGGACAUGAUGCCCAAUCUGAAUCACAAAAGGCUUGGACUGUGCAGUCAGGAUCAUUAGACAACUGAACUCCUAAGGUAGUGUCCUGUUUGAGAUAUCUAAGCAGAUGAUAAGCUGCUUGUAAAUGUGGAGCUCGUGGAUCCUGCAUGAAUUGGCUUAAGUGUUGAACACUAAAAGCUAUGUCCAAUCUUGUAUUAGUUAAGAAGUUCAGCUUGCCUAUCAACUUUCUAUAGAAAGUAGGAUCAGACAAAGGGGUUCCUUCCUUGGCUUUCAAUUUAAUAGUAGGGUCUAAAGGAGAGGACAAAGGUGUAUAAUUGAAACAAUCAUACUCUUUGAGCAAGUCUAAAGUAAACUUCCUUUGAGAAAUAAGUACCCCAUCUGCUGUAUCAAGAAUCUCCAAGCCUAGAAAAUAGUGAAGUCUUCCAAGAUCUUUGAUUUUAAAGGUGUUAUCCAGAUAUGCCUUCAGAUGUGCAAUCUCAGUUGUGUCUGUGCCUGUUAAAAUAACAUCAUCCACAUACACUGCAACAAACACAGCCAAUAGACCUUCCUUUUUGUAGAAUAAGGAGUGAUCAAAUUGUGAAUAUGAGUAACCUCUGGAUGACAAUGCUUCAGUUAGCUUAGAGUACCACUGCCUACUUGCUUGUUUAAGACCAUAAAGAGACUUCUUCAAUUUACAAACCAACCCUGAAUUAAGUACUUCAAGUCCUGGAGGUAAUUGCAUAUAAACUUCUUCAUGAAGAUCUCCAUGAAGGAAUGCAUUGUUUACAUCAAGUUGAAACAUGCUCCAACCUUUCUUCACUGCACAUGCUAUCAAAGUUCUCACUGUGGUCAUCUUAACCACAGGUGAAUAAGUCUCAGUGUAGUCAAUUCCAGCCUGCUGUGUAUACCCUUUCACAACUAGUCGUGCCUUGAAUCUUUCUAUGCUUCCAUCUGCUUUGUGUUUUACCUUAUACACCCAUCUACAUCCAACUGCUUGCUUGUUUGGAGGUAAUGCAACAAGGUCCCAAGUAUCAUUAGCAUACAAUGCUUCAAAUUCUUGUGUCAUGGCCUUUUGCCAUGCAGGAUUUAGUGAUGCCUCCUCAUAUGAUGAUGACUCACUAUCAUGACAAAUAUUUUCAACAAGUGACUGACUAUUAGAUGCAAUGACUUCAGGAGAUAUAUGAUGGUGUUUGGUAAACAAUGCAGUAAGUGAUAAGUUGUUAUUGAUAGUUGUGUUGGAUGUAUUAGAACUGAGUGAUUUCAAUUUUGGGAUAUUAAAAACAUAGUCUUUCAAAUGUGAUGGUAUUUUGUUUUCCCUGUGUGAUCUUCUCUGUACUAUUGUGGAAGUAUUGUAUUGAGAAGAUGUUGAAGAAGUAAUAGGAGUAGUGGAAGGUAUAUCAGGAUGUUGAGUAAUGUGAGUAGGUAAAUGAGAAGGAGUUGUAUCAGUCACAUUGUCAUAAUCACUUACACAAUUCUUAUAUGAAUCUGAAAUAGUAUAAUCAGGAGAUGAAAAAGACCUCAAAACAGAAGGAAAAGAAGAACUUUCAGUUGACAAAGUAAAAGGAAAGACAUGUUCAUGGAAAAUUACAUCCCUGGAGAUAUGUAACUUCUUUGUAGCUAGAUUCAUUACCUUAUAGCCUUUAGUUCCAAAAAAAUAUCCUAAGAAAACAUGUGGAGUAGUCCUUGGCUCAAACUUAUCUCUAAGUACCUUUGGCACAGUGGGGUAACAAAGACAACCAAAAGAUCUAAGCUGGCUGUAGUUUGGUUUCUUAUUGUAUAAUACCUCAUAUGGACACUUAUUUCUCAAAUAACUCGAUGGUAGUCUGUUAAUGAUAUGUGUAGCUGUUAGAACACACUCUCCCCAGUAUCUUAUAGGUAGUUUAGAUUGAAACAAAAGAGCUCUAGCUGUUUCCAACAAAUACUUAUGUUUUCUUUCCACUAUACUAUUUUGUUGAGGUGUAUAUGGACAAGUUUUCUGAUGAACUAUUCCUUUGGAUAAAAGAAAACGAUGUGUUUCAUUAUUAUUAAAUUCUAGCCCAUUAUCUGUUCUAAUGUUUUUGAGAGUGGUAUUAAACUGAUUCUCUAUCAUGACUAUAAAUUUUUUCAAAACUUGUAGAGCAUUGCUUUUAGUACUUAAGAGGUGUGUCCAAGUUGAUCUGCUAUAAUCAUCUACCAAAGUAAUGAAAUACUUGUAGUUGUCAUAAGUGGAUAUAUGAUAAGGUCCCCAUAAAUCAAUAUGUAGCAGUUCAAAAAUGGAUUUGGUUUGGCUUGUGCUAUGACUGAAAGGUAGCCUUUGUUGUCUUGACAUUGGACAAAUAUUGCAGCAGAAAGGUUGUUUGGAAGAAAAACUAACUGGUAAUCCAAUGAUACUUUUCAUCUUAACAAAAGGUACAUGGCCAAGUCUAUUGUGCCACAACAAGUCUACAUUGUCUCCAGAGUUGUGAUCAGCCAUAACAUGACUAAAAGAAGAUUUACACUUAAAAGGAACAGAAUUAGAAGCUAACACUUUGUAUUGAUCAUGAGAAAAUGAAUUAGCAGGAAAAGAAUUACAUGUUUCACCUCUAAUGGAACUAGAAAAAGGACUGUUAUUUGGAAAACAACAACAUAUUUGACAUGUAUUGACUCUUUCAGAGGUCUUCAAGCAUUUUGUGCAUAAGAAGUAAAGCCCAUCUCUACAACUACCAAGAACCCGUGGCCUCUUCACUAAAGGGGCCUGCAAUAGACACAAUGCAUUAGUGAACAUGACUAUGCAUUUCAUUGUAUUAGUUAGUGAAUGGACUGAAACUAGAUUAUACUUAAAAGAAGGCACAUAUAAGACUUGAUGUAAAGUAAUAUUGGAUGUGACUGGUACAUCUCCAAACUCUGUUACUUUGACUUUGUAUCCAUUUGGAAGAGAAACUAGUAUAGGAAUAGGCAAAGUUUUGAUAUUGAUUAGAGAAUUCUUACUAAAGGUUAUGUGGUUUGAUGCUCCUGAGUCAAUGAUCCACAAAUUAGCACUUGACUCAAAACAUUUGCAUGAUAGAUUGUCAAAAACAGUAGAGGAAGAGCAAACUACAAUACCUGCAAAGUUCAUUGAUCCAUCAGCCAUACCAUUAUUGACAGCAGUAUCUUCUCCCACAUUCUCAUUUUUGAAAUUUUGCAGUAGAUUCAUGAUCUGUCCAUAUUGUUCCUUCGUAAAGUUAACAUUCUUUAACACAUCACCUUGAGAUUGUGAUUGUUCUUCUCAUUUGCAGAUGCCACAUCACCUACAGAACCAUGUACAUUUGCUACCACUCUCCUUCCUUUGUAACUUGAGCCUUGUUGUCUAAAAUUCUGGCCACCAUUGUAAUUUCCUGAUCUAUUAUUUUGGUUGUUAUUGUUUUGGGGAUACCCAUGCAACUUGUAACACUUAUCCUUGAUGUGUCCAGCUCUUUUACAAUAGUCACACACUAUGACAUUCCUGUUGGUGUUGUUACUUUGAUAGUGAUUUCCUCCUAAACUACUGUUAGUAUCACCAUAUUUUCCAUAGCUAUUUCCAUAGUUGUUUCCUUGAAAAUUUGUUCUAAAAGAUCUUCCUCCAUGCCCUUUGUUAUCAACAGCUUUAACAUUCAAAGACACAGAAUCUGUAGACAUUCUACCAACAGGCUUGAAUUCUCUUUGUUUUUCCUCUUGGAUUAGCAGUGAGAAAGCCUGUCCCAUAGAAGGAAGAGGAUUCAUCAUGAGAAUGUUUCCUCUUAUCACUGUGUACACUUCAUUUAACCCCAUAAGAAAAUGAAUCAGGCGUCUAUCUUGUUUAGCCUUGAAUAUACUAUCCUUUGCACCACACACACAGACACAACUGCAGUGAUUCUUCACAUUCAAAGUAUUCAAUUCUUUCCAUAACUUCUUCAUUCUUGUGUAAUAUACAGUAAUGUCCAAAACUCCUUGUGUGAGAUCAUUGAUCUCCUUUUGAAUUUGAUACAAUUUUGCUCCAUUGGUUUGAUCAUACCUGUCUUCCAACUCCUUCCACAACUCAGCAGAAUUGUUUACAUACUCUACACUGUCUGAAACUUCUUUGAUUAAGGAGUUCAGGAUCCAAGAUGUCACCAUAUCAUCACACCUCUGCCAUUGACGUAACAGGGGUGUAUUGGUGCUUGGUUUCUCACAACUUCCAUCAAUGAAACCUAACUUGUUUUUCACUGACAAUGCCCUCAUAACACCUCUUCUCCAAGUCCUAUAUCCUGUUCCAUCAAACUGAACAAGAACAAGUAUCAUUCCUGGAUUAUCUGAAGGAUGCACAUACAGAACACCAUUGGCAUCACUUUCAGAUAUUACAGAUCCCUCAGAUGCAGAUGUGGAUGUAGUUUCGAUGGCCAUUACAACUAUGACUAUUAUGAACUUUCAGAAGAGAAAAGGAAACAGAAGAUGUAUGAAAACCAGUAACUUCCAACUUUGCUAUCGAUUGAUAAUCAAUCAAAACGAGUAAUCAAAAGAAGAGAAAAAAGCAGUUAAUCGUGUGCUCUGAUACCAUGUUAAGAUCUUCAACAAGAAGCAUGGGCAGCCAUUGAUGAAGCUGCAAACUUCCCCAGACGAGACUGAGGAUAAAAGCUACAAUGCAAGGCUUUGAGAUUGAAUUGUGAAAAGUUUGAUUACCUUCAUUCAUCACUCAUGAGGUGUAUAUAUACAUGUGAUUAGAUGGAUCAAACUAGUGGAAAGAAAAUAACUAACUAACUAACUAGUUUGUUAUGUAACUAACUAUUACAAUACUAACUAUAAAAUGGAAAUACAACUAACAAACCAACUUGGAAGGAAUAAGUAAUGUACAUGAAUUAAUUAUGAGUGUUAAUACUGAAAACUAAUAAUUCACGCCAUGUCAAGAGUGUUUUCACUACUUCUCUCUAAUUUUUUAUAAGUAAAUUGAAUAACAAUAAUAGAUUCAGUAUAAUCCUAUAAUUGAUAUUUGAAUUGUCGACUAUAUGUACAUCUUGUGGAGUAAAAAUGAAAUACAUGGCUCAAAAAUUUAAAAAGUUAAUAUAAUAAUAUUGAAAUGGUAUUACGUUGAAUUUGAUAAAUUGAUACAUAUAAAAUAUUAAAAUGGUGUUUGUUUCAAUUCCUGAAAUUUGAAGAACACACCAUAAAGCAAAUUUAAUCAUAUUUGUAAACAGACGACAAUAGAAGGUUUGACGGUUUAGAGAUUUCAAAAUAUUCAAUUAUAAGCUAAUUAAAUUGUGAAAGAAGAAUGAGAAAGAUAAAUGCAUAACGCAGAUUCAUGUUAAUCGUCUGAAUAUAAAUAAGUAAUAAAAUGUGUAAAAAAAAAAAUACUAUAAUUACCAAAAACUAUUUCAAACCAUUACUUUAGUAGCAAAUUCGAUCUACUUUGCAAAAGCACGUACCCAAAGUUAAUUAAAUUCGAAUUCAUAAUAUUUCAAAAGAACGAAACUUUUCAAUUCUUUUUUUACAUAAAAUACAAGAAAUCAUUAUACAACUUCCAGAACUUCAAGAACAUUUCCCCUUAAGUUUAAUUAAUUCCUAUUUGGUGUAUUAGUAGGGCCAUAUAGAGAUUCUAUUAGUGGAGUCAACGUCAAUAACUUAUAUUUUAAGAAACAAAAGAUUCGUAGGAUAAUAUUCUUUUCAUAUCGACUAGUUCAAUAAACAAAAUCUUUUUUUUUUUUUACAAAUAAUAUUUCUUUUUAUUAUUCAGAACAAUAAACUAAAUGAUCUUAUAUAUACUGUUAGUCCUUAUAUUCUAUAGACAAAUUGCCAAUGAACACUAUUAGAAAAUAAGAAAAAAUAUAUGUUAAUCUCAUCCACUUAUGGAUUAACGAUGAAUAUUGUAAACGAGAGAGGGUACACUAAAAUUAUGUGGUACCUAAUUUGAAAAUGAUCCAGAAAAAGUGUUUUUUGAGCUCAAAUCUAUUUUAUUUUUGUUGAGUUGUUAUAUAAAUUUCGAAAUUUAUAGUCUAUAAUAAAAAGAAAAGCUCAUCAAUUAUGACUUUAAUUGUAAUUUCAUCAAAGGGAAACUUACAUAAAUAUACUAUAAUAAAAAAAUAUUUACCAUUUAUAGCAAUAAUAUUUUUUUUCACUUAAUCACUUUUAAUUCAUUUAUAAUACAAGUUUAAUACAUAUUACAAAGAACAAUUUAUUAUUCACAUAUAAUAAAAUUUUUAAUGAUGAAUAAUACAUUUAUCACACAUUUUAAUAUACUUAUAAUACAACGUGACAAUUUUUACCAAACAAACAUGAUAUAUUUCAAAAAACAAUUAUAAUUCAUAUAUAUUGCAUACAUAAUUCACUUUUAAUACAUAUUACAGAUUUAACAAAGCUUUGAUAUAAAUGGUAAUAAACAAAAAGUAUUGCUAAAAUGAGUAAUUAUUUUUUAAAUUGUAUUUAUUUAUGUAAUUUUUCCUUUAUAUUCAAACGACCUCUCAUUGAACCCGCUCUUAUUAAAGAAAUUGGUCGUAGAAUAUAAGAAAAUUGUAUCAGAAAAUUAGAAUAUCGUUAUUUUUUUUUUUUUUUUUUGCAUUGAUGAGUCUUCGUAAUUUAUUAUAAGUUAACAAACUGUAAUAAUUGUUAACUUUGUGUUAGUAAUGGUUAUGUGAAAAUAUUUUGGUUAAGGUAGCGAACAAGUACAGAACUAUUCCUAAUAACGAAUCAUGAGAAAGAGUUCCAACGUAGCAGUGUUACUUGCUUCCUCUGCACUCUCUAAACCUCACCAACUAUACUUUUCGAACCUCAUUGAAUAAACCUAAAAUCCUCAUCAUUUAUGAAAAUUAUUGACAAAUAGCUCAUUAAUAAGAUAAUCGAAAUAUCAAAAGACGCCACAUAUUGAAACAUUUUCAUAAACACACCUAACACUAAUCUUUUUUUUUCCAAAUGUUUCCACAACCACAUUUACAAUCCAAAAAGGCCCUUUGACAUUAUAUGAUGUUUGACUUGGCAUAACAGCUUUUUUGAAAAACGAAAAUCAUCGAAAAACUUUGUAGUCUAAAACAAUCCAUGAUUUACAGUGGCAUGUAAACCCCAUCGAUACCGAUCUAGGUAUUAUUUUCAAAACACAUAUUUUUCACACAGAUAACGCAAAGGUAGAGAUCAUUUUAAAAGGGGAAAAGAAAGCCAUUUUCCUUUUGCUAACCCCUAAAGAAGGAUGCAUUACAAAAUAAAACUACAGCGCUAAUGAAUGUGAUGAUGAGUAAAUAAGCAAUUAAUGGAACUUGACAUCUCUGAUCUCUUGGCAUCAAACCUAAAUUUUUGCUGAUCACAAUGAAUAAAUCAUGCGGAGAAACGUCAGAUAAAGAUACAAAAUGGGGGAAGAAAAUGAAACUCCGACAACGAGAAAAGCAAGCAGGCAAAUCGUGAUAGUACAGGCAGAGGAAUCAAGAUUUGCGAGUUUUUGCUCUUGUUGCUUGUUUCUCAGAAUAGAGAGUACUGCAAAAAGGAUUUCAACUUUGUCACAAUGAACGUCCAGACCGGAAUUGCUAUAAUUGAUGUGAGGCUCGGCUUGGCUCCUACCAGUAGAGUUGUCCGAUCAAAGUCUUCUAAGCCUUUAAAGCAGCUUUGUGCACCAUUGUUUCUUUGUGGAUCUGGUGGCAACUCUUUUCGACAAGGUCAAGCAGCUUCUCCAAAUUAGACGCCCAAGAAUUCAAGAUAUCAUUGCUGUCUUUUGGGGGUUGGAAACAGACAAUACCCAUAGGUCUGUCUAUUUUAGCAACCAAAGCUUUUGAUACAACCAUUUCAGAUAGGUGCUUCUCCGCUUCCUGAAAAAAAAAGAAAAAAGAAAAGAAGAUCAGAAAUCACCAGACAAAUGUAUGCUAUGAGAGGUAAAACAAUUAUGUGACAGUUGCAACAUCUAGACAAAUGGUGCUCAGUAAUGAUGAAGAGAAAAUAGAAUGCUGAUUAUGAUUUCAGUUCCAACAUUUGAAAGUUUGUGCACAGAAGGUAAAAAUUGGGAACAUCCAGCAACUCUCCACUGAGUUGUCUACAACAUUUUUUUCUUUUUCACACAGUUUACCUUCUUUACUAUUUUAGUGCAAAGGUAUAGCAAAUUUCCCGCCAUCAGCAAGAGCCAGACCAAGGAUCUUAACUAUAAUGAACCAGAUCUGAAUUGACAAAUCUAACAGCUAAUGUUUUUCACAAGCACAAAGUUAUAUUGCUGCAAGGCACAGAGAGACCCCAAGACUUACAGUGGCCCUCGGCCUUUGCACUAAGGUUUAGACCACAUUCACUUAAUCAUAGCAGGAACUCUCUAAAUACCACCAAAGAUGAAGUAAAACAUGUAGGUAUUGUACACAAUACUCUAAACAAAUUAGGAAAAGUAAUAAACUAAACAUGCACCUGAAUAUCGAGGCACAGUAAAACAGCCAGCCUCUUCAAGGUUAUUCUUGAGUAGUAUUUUGAGACGACAAGGAUGUUCUGCAAGGAAAAUAGUACUUAAAAGUUAAAGCACAAUUCAAGAGGAAAAUGGACGCCAUUAUGACAAAUCAUCAAACAGGAGAACUAAAAGUGAGCCCUUAGAUAUUACGUGCUCAAUAACUCUCAGUUUGAGGUCUUCAGCAGCCUUGUCCCCCAAAGUGCCACCAGGCAUAUUCUUCUCAUUUUCAAACUCAUCCUUGAAUGUGUUCCAUAAAGCAGUCCACUGAAUGACUUCCAUGGUAAUCAAUUGCUUCAGAAGCAGCCUGAAGCAAAAAAAAGGAAGAUACCAAAACAAUCAUUAUUCUGAAGUUGGUUCCCCUCUAGUGUAGAGGGUGGAGAAAAUUGUAAAUUUCUGAAAAAACAGUCGUUGGAUAAAAGAUAAGAAAUGUUUCCUUCUGAGCAUGCAAAAUUCCACAUUUAUAUUGAAAUAAACGAGACUAUAUAAGUUAGUCAGGUAGUAGAAUAAGGUUAUAUAUACACUCAUUACUUGAUAUUUCUGUUUAGAGUUUCAAUUUUCAAAAUGUUAGUUUAAGAAAAUAAGGACUUCAAAGAUCCAUUAAUCAUUGAAUAACUCUAAUCUCCUUCAGCCUUAACAUGCAAGACUCAUAUCAAAUACGCAAACAUUGCAACAAUGCAAAGCCCGAUGAACCAGACUAGAACUCUAAUACUCCAGCCAAUUAAUUGUGUGAUAGGAUUUGACUAGGGAGGAAGUGUAAGAUGGCUCAGUUGACAUUUCUACUAUAUUGGUCAUUAGUAAUCAAAGAAAUUACUAAGACAGUUUCUCAAAGCUAGUCUGUCACGGAUACAUUGGAUGAAUUUGUGAAGAUAGUAAAAAACUUAAGAUUCUUGAAAUUUCUGAAAGAUGCAGAACAAUAUUGUUGAUGGACAGGUGGCAAACAUCCUUGAUGUCCCAAAAUAGAAAUUGCUAUAUAAACUUCAACUUGUUCCAAAGGAAGUACAAAAUAUUCAUCAUCAAAUGACAUAUAACCACACACAGAAUGAAAUAAUUUCCAAGCAGAGUUUAUGUCAAUUGGCAAAAUUUUGAGAAAUCUUACCCCACAAACCCAAAUAUACAAAUGCAAAGAUAAUAACACCAUAAACAUAGUUAUUACUUUUUUCCUUUAUUUUACAAGUAGCAACAGUAAACAUAGUGCAAUAGAGUUUUUUGCACAAAACCUGAAAUGAGGAAUUUCUGAAAGAUUUUUGUCCUCCAAAGUUGAGUUAUGAAGACUUGAUUGCAUAGAAUCAUGGGGAGACAAUACCAAGUACCAGCAAAUUUUCCUCAGAACCUACAUGAAAUAACAGAGUUAAGCAAACUGGUCAAUCAAGCAUUAUCUGCAAUUAACCCUCUUCAAGAUUUGGAAUCUCAAAUACAAUGACGAGCUCCUCUAUCUACAUUUAUACACGUCUACAAAUCGAAAUGUAAUUAAAAAUAAAAAAAAUUAUGCUAGAUCCACUAAGAAAGGGCCUCCAAUAACAACUCAAGUUAACAAAACAGAAUACAUUGUAUCUUAUUUAUCAGUGACUUCAAGUUAUCAAAAUAGAAUACGUCCAUCCAUCCCACCCAUUUUUCUCCUAAUAAUAUAGACUUGGACUCUAAAACCUAUAAAAUAAUGUUACAUUUAUUAAAUCUUCUGGAGAACAGUAAAUGGUUUGUGGAAAGAGUUAUAGCCAGAGUAAUGACUCUUCCUCCCCAUUAGCUUUUAUGUUUCUCUCUUCGUAUUACCACACUUCCGCAUUUACACAUUCUUGUUUUCUUCUUAAUCUAAUUAUAGCCAAGCCUAUUGCCACAGUUCGAAAUUUGUUUUCCUUCUGCCCAAGAUGUUCAAUGAUCAACAUGGGUAGACUAAGAGCCUGUUUGGAUUGUGGCUUAUUAUAGGUUCUUUAAAGCCAAAAUAGUUUUUAAGCAGCUUUGAAGUGUCUAGGUAAAAUAAAAAAGUGCUUAUAAGCACAUGUUUUUAAACCAAAAUAUCAAAAAUAAGCUAAAAGCCAUAAGUAAAAAUUUCUAACUUAUGCCUUCAUGUCACAAGCCAAAAGGUAAUCCAAACAGGCUAAAUAAUAAAGCCCCCCCCCCCCCAACCCAACCCAAAUCUUUCUGACAGAUGAAAAGGAUGCCUACCCCCUUUUCUAGAAAACUGAAAAGAAUGCCGACCCUUAUCUUGUUAGAUGAAGAGAAGCCUGACUAGCUGCAUAAGAAUACAAGCCCAGCUCACAAUUAUCAUAUGAUACCAGGGAAAAACUAAUCCUAUAUCUUCUAUUCUUAAAUAAUUUGUUUCCCAAUAUAGGGAAGAAAGAGUGUCUCUUUAUGAAUUUGACAUAUCUGAUGGUUUUGUAUCACCUCUACUUGAUUUAGCAAUUAGAAUUUUCAGGUAGGUGUAAAUUAAUUUAAUUGUCACCUAAUCUUAAAGCUAUGCAGCAGUGACGUAUCUGUUACAACAGAUUAAUAAUUCCCAACCCAUUUACUUUUGUCAGAGUUCAUACCUUUUAUUGGUAAAUCAAUUUAGUUGUCACAUAUUUUGAAUUUUUAUUUUUUUUGAAGUGAAAUAUCAUUUAAGGCAUCCAGGCAAAUGAUAUUGUGCAGCAGAAUGAUUAUUGUUAUAUUUUUCUGAAAAGAAUUGCUCAUUAACCAACACUACAUUAUAUAGACUUACUACUUAAAAAAUUCAAAACUGAUUUUCCAUCGAAUAAUACCACGUGCAACGUCUCGAAAUUAUAAUUUAUGCAGAAUGUGAGUAAUUCAUGAAAGGGAUCUUACUGGUAUCCACUGUGCUGGGUCUUCUUUCACGGAAGGGAUCUCAUAUAUAGCCUUGUAACAGCGACAUAUUUCAAGGUAAUCAUUGCUAUGUGAGUAAUACCUGCAACAGAAGUAGAAAGAAUGACACACCAGUUUAAGAUACACAAAUGCAAAAAACGAUCUCCAAAUGAAAUCAUUCAUUCAUCUAGAGCUAUAUCACUCUAAAUAAGUAAGAAUCUCAUGCCUUAGGAUUGCUGACCUGCUAAAUCAACAAUUAAGAAAAUCAUGCAAGGUCACUCCAACCUAAAAAAUUUGGAGACAUGGCAAAAACUAUUCUAUGAUAAAUAAAAUAACUUUCAUUUACAUUUGAUAGGUGAUGCAACUUUGAAAGACCUUUACUACUUCAAAAGUCAGUAUCAGCUUAGGUGAAUUUAUAGGGUGUAGAUGAGCAUAACCAUGUCAUUUAAUUGUCAUGUAUUCUGAAUACAACUUCAAUCACUUCUUAUCAUCUUGAAAAGAAGUGCAAAGUAUAGCAGAACUACAAUUGUCUUCUAAAGUUUAGUCACCUGCUCCCAAUGAAAUUUAAAGAAUGGAAGUCCAUCCACAAAUAAACCAAAGCAAACAGAGCAAAUAUGGAACUAUCUCAAACAUGGAGCUCUGCAGAACUUACUUCAGUCUCUAUUUAUUCAAUGACAUCCAAGGUGUAUAAUCUCUUCCGGAAAAAAUAUGAAGUUUCUACUAAAAACAAACAUUUCUGACAAAGCACAGAUAACAUUCACUUUAAUCCUUUGGCACAGUUGAUAAGGGGAGGAAACUAGAAUCCUCAAAGACAACUAAAACAUAUAUAAAAUGAAGACAAUCAGAAUCUUUAUUCAGAAAACAUGUCUAACCCAAACUCAAAUGUAAGUAAGAUGUAGACAAACUGCCAGAAAAUGAGCAAAUAAGCAAAUUAUGUGCCUUAAAUACUAAUAUCUUCAGUCCCGAUACUGCACAAAUCACCAAAACUAAGUGCAGAAGUUGCAAGCUUUAAGUAUGAACACAUUAACUAUUCCAAGUUAUCUUAAGAAAAUAAAUUACGUUAUUUUAAAAUUAUACUCGGAUUGCAUGAAUCUGCUGAAUGCUUGAUAGUAAGAAGGGUGUUGCAUUCAACAAUUCUAGAGAAGGUAACUUGCUUAGCCACAUUUAUAACAUAAUCAGAUGUACCUAAUCAUUAAUUGAUAGUAGAUCUGCUUCAACUCUGGCAGUGACGGAAUAUCUGCAGCAGGUUCCUCAACCACAUUUUCACCCUCCUUUGCUUUCUUCUUUUCUUUAGAUGGAUCAGCUUCAAACACUCUGGGAUUGAUCUUUCUCGAGAGAAUUUGAGCACGAACAUAAUCUUUAUGAUCUAAGCAUAGACGAACCUGCAAUGUUCAGCACCACACAGUUGGUCCAAAAGCACGGUCUCGUUAAAAUUUUGGGUAUAAAGAGAAGGAAGAGUUUGCCCAUCAAAAAGGAUAAAAGAGAAGGAAGAGAAUCACAUACUUGUUCAAGAAUAAAGGCUAUCUUUUCAGUUUUUGCCAUCGCUCCAAAGGUUUCAACCUGUUAGUUAAGCCAUGGACACAUUACAUUGCAAGUGGGAAAAAACAUAAAGAGUAAGGACCAGAAUAUUGCAGUUAGACAUCAAUUGCACAAAGCAAAAAAGACCAAGAAGACACCAAAGUGAAGGUCAACAAACACUUACAGCAACUUCUUGCAUCAAAUCAGCAGCCUCGCCUAUGAGUUUUUGUUCUUCUUUAAUCUUUGCGAGCUUCUUAAUCAAGCGAGCUCUCUCAAUCUCAACGUAUAUCUGCAUUCCAGAUCAUAGUUGCUCAGUAGGAAAGAGAAUCAAAUUGCAGUGAUGUCUUUUCAUUAAAAUGAACAUGUCCUCACCUUUCCAGCAGACACACUGUUCAGUGUUUUGAUAAGUUCUAUCUUGGUGUCAAGAUCGGGCGUCUGGUCAAUGUAUUGCAUGGCCUGUUGGACCAUGGCCUGUACAGCCUGCAUAAGUACCAGGAAAAACACCAAGCAUAUUAUUAUAAAGUUUAAAGAGGAUAAAUGAAGCCAUAGUAUCAUGCAUCAGUGUCAUCGCAACUAGAGAAAGUGCUGAAAUGCCACAGGUAUAUUUUUCAUGAGAAUGGCUCAUGCCGUAUGCAUAUAUAUGGGGACAAGGAAGAGCAUAACUAAAAAGGCAUUUCAAUAUGGAAUGGACAGGACUCGGGGGACAGGACUCGGGAGCUUACAAAUACUCUAGUAUGCUUACCCGAUAUUCUCAAAACACAAGCACAUUGGUAGCCAAUUGCCCAAGCAUUUCACAUAUGAAGCCACAACAUGCAUGUUCCCAGGUAGAUGGUAAGUGAAAGCAAGUAAAGGCAAAAAAAUUCUAAUUAAGUAUGAAGCAAAUGCGAUCCAACUUCUUGAUCAUUUUUCAGUUCCCUAGCUUCAUCAUGCUAUGCAAUUCCAUGGUUCAAAUACUUCCUUGCAUCCUUGGGCAUUGCAUCUCCAAGUAAUUUCUAUUUUUUGUUCCUAUAAGUUCAAAGCAGAAGUAGUGCUUGGUAGAAUAGAAAUACCUGUCCCUAGGAAAACACAUCCAAGACCCGUGAUUACUUAUUCACUUAUACCCCAAAUCCAACAUUCUCCCAGAUAAAUUUUUGCAGCCAUAGGAAACCUGGCUUAAAAUUUCCACAAAUAUAAAGCUGCUAACCCACAACUUGGUUGCCAACAUAGGUUUUCUGUUUUUGUAUUUUGGUCGUAGUUGACAUUUUUCCUUGUACCUCACCCCUCCUUACCUCUAUUUGUUUGGAUUUGAUUCCUAGCAUUUCUUUAGGACCUCUUGACUAACAUCAUUAACCAAGAACUUGCCACUACAUUCAUCCUUUCCAAAUUCAUUCCCAACAGAGCUGGAAUGUGUCUUCAUCUUCUUUUUUGACAGGGUAAAAGCUCAAAUGUGUGUGUACCUAUCUUUAAUUUUAUUCAUGUCCUACUAAUCCGGUUUCAACCAUUUAUUUUCAUUCAACAAGCAUAAAUACGAAUAUUAGAUCUAGAGGUCGAGACACCAAUAUCGCCCUGAAAUAAUAAUCCUAAUAAACAUCUUCAUCAAAAAUCUGAAAAACGGCAUUGCAAACGAAGCAGUCUCUAAAGUAGUUCAUCAAUUAAACAGGCAAAAUCUUGGCACAACAUGGCAAUUGUAAACAACGACAUAUCCAGUGAAAUCCAAAUGAGGAUUUGAACUUGCAUAUUAAGUAUUAACCAUCCUGUAUGUAUUUCCCUUACCAGCAUUUCUUAUGCUGGAACACAAUAAUGGAAGACUCUCUUCAGUCUUUACUUCUUCUUUUUUAAUUAUUGAGACCCUUCAAAACAUGGGGGAAAUGGCCCCACCCUGCUUCUAUCGAUCCCCACCUAAAUACAAAGCUUGGUCCUCAUAGUGUAAGACUCACAAGUUCCUCAACCUUUUUUUUUAACUUAAGAGAGGCAAAAUUCAUCCAACACCCCUACCAAGUAGUACCCUUCUUUUAGCAGUGUUUAAGUGUAUGGGACGAGAGUUAGUUUUCCCGUAUCACUUAAAAAAGUAAAAAACAAACAGGAUAACUUUCCAUUUUUUCUAUGAAGACCACAGCCUAUCCAAACUCCUGCUUUAAUCAUGGAAGCAUUCACAGGUAGUCUCACAUAUCUUUUUAAUCAAGUAACCUAAAAUACUAAGCACUACUCUGUGUUUUUGCUUUUCCGAAGUCCAAACAAAGUAAAGAAUCUCUCUUCCAUUCCUUUUGUACCAAGCAAAGAAUAGAGAUGAGCCUAUCCACUCACCUAGACCUAGAGAAAAACAUUAACCCAACACCCUCACCUACUUCCUCAAGUUACAAGUCUGCUAAGCUAAAACUGAUGAAGUUUUGAAUUACACACUAAGGAAUCAGCACGUCUACCUGCUCUUUCCAUUGAAUUUACAGCAACACUACAAGAGUGAAAAAAAUAAAAAGAACAGUCUGAAAGUAAGUCCAGUACAUUGCCCUCUAAGUUCAAAACAUGCCUUCUAUCAGCAUAUCACAGGUGGGUUCUUCAUCAAAUCAAUUUUGCUAAUGUGAUGGUCAAGAUCAAAUUAGCUUAUUCACUCAGUAAAGUAUAACUAUAUGAAACUCAAUAGGUCAAAUCAAAACUUCAAUUACGUGAAAAAACAAGAUCUUUAGGUACUACCAACAGCUUAACGGCACACAGCACGCAAUAAUAUACUGAUCUCUAAAACUUCCUACUUUUUCCACGCAAUAAUUUACUGAUCUCUAAAACUUCCUACUUUUUCCUUCACAUAAUUUAGCAAACAAAAACAUGAUUUUCAAGACCAGAUUUAUAAACGAACCAAAACCCAAAUUUUGAAGUCGUAAAAAUCAACUAAUAAAUAAAUAAAAUAGACAAACGUGCCUGUUUCAAUUGUCCACGGCGCUUAGACAAUAGAACAAUCUGUUCAUUUAAAGUUUUCCAUGCGCGAGCUUCGAAGCAAAGCUGAAGAAUGUCUAUAGCUGCUUUUCUAGUAGCAGCGACAUCGCCAGCUUGCCUCAUCUGCUUCUCUACAUUCAGAAGCACCUCAAUUUGCGCCUCCAAUUUCCCAUCACCUUCCUGUAAACAACAAAACAUUUCAACUGAAUAAAGAUCAAAAAUCGAGCACGAAUUAUACAAAUCGAAGGAAAAUCGAAGUUUACCAUAUUGAUUAUUGAGUUUUUUUCGGAGUUCGAUUGAGAUCGAUUCUCAGAAACCCUAAAAGAGAGAGAGAGAGUCUGAAGACUUGUAAAAUUUACUUUCGAGUGUUUUAUAUUAUUUUAUUUGUAGUUUUCUUGUAGGAGUAGUUAUGCUCUGACAAAAAAGAGGGUUAAUAUCUUUUUGAAAACAAAUUAAAUCUACAUAUUUAAAAUGAUAAUAUUAUUUGAAAAUUACUCAUUUAAGACAUACCAAUUUGAAUAUGAAAAUUAAAAUAUAAUUUUGAAGUUUUAGAAUUGUGAAAGUUAGAAAAAAAGUAGGAUUUAUUUUAAAGUUGAAAAUGAUAUUUGAAAUUAAGUUGUAUGUAUAUAUGAAUGAGGUAUGUUUUUUCUAUUUUUAUGAGUGAUUUUGGAGUGGAAACUCUGAGAAUAGUUUUUUUGUAGUUUUUGAAAUUGAAUUUUGAAUUUUAUAAUAAUUUUAUGAAUUGAUAUUUUUUUGAUCUGUAGUUUUUCGAUCUAUACUUCUAGGAGCGGCGGGGCUUGGUUGAUUGGAGUUCUUUAUCCUCAACCAAUUUGAUUUUGUCCGUCUUGAACUAUUGAUAUAACAUUUUGUUAUAAGUUGGUUGAACAAAGAUAGAUUGAAGGUCAGAUGGACUUGAGUUCAAGUGAUACAAUAUCUUCGAUCGAUCAUCGGGCCUAUUUUAUAUUUGUUGAAUUCAUUCUAUUGAAGUGUAACGUUAAAAGUUUAUUCUCAUCUUAUUUGAAGUGAUAGAUUCUUUAUCGCUGAAUUUUAUAACAAAGGAAAGCUUUAACCAUAAUACAUUUUCAUUUGAUUGAAACAAGUUUUGUGUUGCUCACCACUCCUCAAAGCCAAAGACGCAGUUGAACCGUAAUUUCAAGAUUGCAAUCUUAUACACAUUACGUCACCUAUACAAACUCACCACCUCACGAGCCUAAGUCAAACAAUUGUUUUUCCUUCUCCGCUCAUUCUUUUUCUACAUAUGUGGGCAUGUGGCGGGUGGAUUACCGGAGAAGGGGGACAAUUCUUUUUCCUUUGUCUGGUUUAAUUUUUCUUUUCAGAAUGAAAGUAGCAAACACUUGAUACAUAUGGGACGCAUGUUCAAAUCAAUACUUUAUGUAGAUUGAGAUGAAUUGGUCUUAGUUUAUCAUGUCUCUCCUUUGUACUAGUUAUGAAUUUUCUCAUGCUCCAAACAACUUCUAGGUUAACGUUGAUUACAAAGGUUUGUACCACUGAGCUUGCUCCCCUUUAUAAGUAAAAUUGAGCGUGGCUUUAAUCGGGUUUGCCUCCGCUUCUUCUGCACAUGAGGAACCAACUGAGUGAAAAGUCACGCCAACUUUAGGUGGUUGUUGAUGAAAUUUGACCAUAUUAUUUAUAUAAAAUACAAACAUGAUAUUUGCAUAUGGAGACAUAGUAAAUUGAAAUUACUUGCAACUAAAUGAAACUUCACUUGAAUAACCAUUUUUCUCUCAUUUCUCCAUUUUCUCUGCCAUGGUUAUCAAACAAUGCAUAACUAUUUGUUCAAAUGUUAGUUUUUAUAUCCUUAUAUGGAACAAACUCUAAUAACAAGAACAGAUGUAUGCAUUGUUUAAAUUCAAGAGUUAGAUACAAACUAAAGAAUUCAAAUAGUUGUAGUUCUUCCAAUAAAUAGUUAAAACCAGCAAACACUUGUGAACCGAUUAUCCAUCUCAUCUCUUCACGAUAGCAGGGAGAGCCCAGCUCGAGAAAGAGACAUUGAUGCAUAUUCAUGGCUAGCAACAAGUAUUGUGUUGCGUCUUAAACAUCAAUAAAUGAUUAGUUGAACCUCCUUUUGAGUGAUCUAAAUAAUGUCAGCAGGAGAAAUCGGAAUGCAUGGGGAAAAUGGUGAUGUUAAAUUUGAUUUUUUUUCACUUGUUCUGCUUAAAGUUAGUAUGCGUGUCUGGAGGAAAGCUGAGACUCCUUACCAAACCCAAAAUCAGCCUCAGAACGACCAAUUGGCGACCUGUCACUUCCUCUACCUCUAACAUCACCAAUUCCUCAGAGUUGCGGCGUUGGGAUAUCUUCAUAAUAUCAUCUCCAAUAUCAACAUCAUAUUCCACCUUAAUUUGUGUAUCCCCCAUCAGAGAUAUUUAUAUUUGUUUCUUGAAUGUUACUCUUAGGAGGCUUUGACGCCCCUUCUUGUACAUAGCUGCGAAAAUUGAUUUUUGAAGGUUCAAUCCUUGUGCAGAAUAGUUGAAGAAAAUCUUUUAUGCAUCCCCGGUUAUACACCCUGUUGUCUCCCUCAUAACGGAAGUUCUCAUAUGUGGUCUGCAGAAAUCAUUAGCAAUAAAACAAUUAAAAAAUGUAUAAUAAGAAGACAUCAAUCCCCUUUAUCCAACAAUAACUAAAAGUUGUAUAUCUAUCAACUAUUUUUUCUUAAUGUCCGAUAGGAUCACAGAAAACAUUCAUAUUGUUCCUCUUUCAAGCACUCCUUUUUUACUACUAAAAAGUUACUCCUUCAAAUGUUUUUUCAAUUCUUUUUCUUUAGGAAAUUAUGGAAGACAAGAAGAAUAAAGUUUAAAAUAGUAGAGAAUCUUAUGAAAUGAAACACAAAUGGAAAAAAGAGCAUAAGAUGAAACAAACUUUCGCAUUUGUUCUUUAUAGCUAAAUCAACGAGUCCAGCCCGUAGAGAGGCUCUUAUGAGGAAUAUAUAAACCAUUAUCAUGAACAAAGAAACAACACACUCACAGAUUGGCAAAGGGAAAAAACAUUAGAAAGAAAUAUAUAUUACACGAGGAAAUACAUGUUUUACAUUUUUUAAUUUAGAUGAUCUUAAGUCUUAACUAUAGAUCAUAUUCUUGAAAUAGAACAUUCCACUUCCUCUAAUAUAUUAUGAAUUAAAAAAAUCAUAUAAACAUUUGUCACAUUUUUUUCUGGAAAAACAACCCUUGAAAAAUAACGAACAAAAUGUAAAGAAGAAACGUCAAUAGAGAAUUCCCUCCAUGAUUACAAAUAGAGGCCAAAAGGGAGUCAUUAUAUUCUAUGUUUCUCCUAAUCAAUUGUAUUUAACUUUCUAAAUGCAUGGACAAGUGUCCCUGACAAGCCAUCAAUCACUUUGAAGGGAUGCAUACUUGUGUCCUCUAACACCAUGACAAUAAUGGAGUUGUCAUGUUGGAAUAAAAAAUAUUACUAUGAUUGAUAGUACUCAGAUGCAAUACAACAGAAAAGCUUUUAAAUUAUUAAUUGUAAGAGGUUUCAAACCAAACUAACCUGAUUUGUACCAAUGAGAUACAAAUGGAAGCCAGUAAGAACUCCAACAAACCACAGUGCAACAAAACAAUAAGUCAUCAAUGCUGCAGAUGUCGGUGAUUCUUUGAAAGCUUUCCAAAGAGUUCCAGAAUUAUCCAUGAGAAGUUUCAGAUACAAAGCCGAUAUGGAAAAGACGAAAACACAAAGGAGGGCUGUUGAAGAAACAAAUAGAAAGAAGCACCGAUAGUUCUGUUGUGCACCAACAAAGAAGAAGAGAAAAAAUUAAAGUGUCUCAAUAGGAUAUCUAAAGAGCAUUUUAAAUAGAAGAAGAGCUUCUCCUCCUAAAAUUGAUAUUAACUUUUUUCCAAUAUCAACAUUUUGGAGUCAGGAUACAGUUGGCACAUUUCAUCUUUAAAUGAAUCAAAUAAAUUAGGAAGCGUAAGAAAAGCAACAAAUAGAAAAUCAUCCAUGGAACUUAAAGAAAAAGAAAUAGUAAUGAAAAAAUGGAUGUACUUACCUUCCCAAUGCAUUGACCCACCCAAGGGCAAUGAUGAUCAAAUCGCUCCACACAAUUAUCACAUACCGAACAAUGAGAUCAUCUUGGUGGAUGGUACAACAUGCACGUUUCACAAUAUUUAACUCGUAUAGGCAAACCAUUCACAAGGACUUCAUUGAAGCGAGGCAGUCUACUGCUAGUUUCAACGCAAGCUGAGGAAUCAUACCCUCGAACUUCCUCUGGAGGAUGAUAAUAACAAUGUCAGGAUCCUUUGCUGAUGUUGAAAGUAGAAGUAUAAAGACCUAUGGCAACCAAUACCACAUUAGGAAAUUGAAAUAAUAAGAAACAACGGAAUAGAGCAUUAUGAUGACUAUAGGAUUCCAACUGGUGUAAACCACCUGGCCACCACAAAAGAAUAUAUGUGCGUCUUCAAGAAUAAGCGCUAACCUUAUGAGAAUAAAGAAGAACGCACAUUGGAAGUUAUGAAAGUUAAGCAAAAAAACAGGGGUAAAGGCAGUUGACAACAACGUAAGCAACAAGGUGAGUAAAGUGGGUAUCUUGACAGAAAUCAAGGCUCUACUUCUUUUUGGGAGGGAAAAAGGGGAAGACAAUCUCAUAGACAGAUUUCUGUUCAAAAAAAUUAAGAAGGAACACAUGGGAUUUUCCUGAAACAUACGCAAAGUCUGACGGAUCACUAACAGGCACUAAAAGGAAGAGUUAAUAAACUAACAUAAAUUGUGAAGACAAUAGUUAUCACCAAAAUUGCAUAUCCUGCACUUUCUCAUUAGAGUUCAACCACGGGAUUUCUUGCCACAAAUGCAUAAAAUAGAACAACAGGGACAAGGAUGAGCAUGAAAGUGAUUAUCAAUUACUUAGCAUCUGGUCCAAAUAUUAGCCUCCCACCAAGCAAGAAUUUCUGCACAUUACAUAAACCACAAAAAAAGAGUCAAGUACAAGGACAUAUGUCCAAGUGAAAAAUAACAUACUCAUACUCACAGUCGCAAAUUAAUAGAUAGAUUCUUGUUUUAGGAAACAAACAAUUGAUCACCAUAUGUAAGUUACUUUAUAGACAGCAAAAUUAAGAAGUUCCCUUGGGUGUUGAAGGUGAAUUGGAGCAUCACAGUCACUUCUCUUUUUCUUUUCUGACAAGAAAGGUUUUUUUAAGGAGAAACCAUAGUUUUAAAAUUUGAGGUAGUAAAUUUUAAGUGCACUCAUAUUUGAGAAGAUGAGAGCUUUUGCCUUCUAUAUUGUCACUAGGCACCAAAAGAUCCUUUUAAUGAUCAAAGAAGGCUAAGAUCCCCAGCUACAUUACAGUUUCCAAGGAGUUUGUAACAGUUUGCAAAGUCUUGUGAAAUAGAAAAAUUGUUUGAUUCAUUUCACCAUUUGGUGCCUUAACUGAAUCACAUUGUCGGUAUACCCUUGAACCUCCAAGACAUAUUAUAUAUUACCCCUUCUAAUUAAAAGAUGCAUCAACUUAUGGCCUACCUACAAAAAUGACUCUAACAUUAGGAACUUGCAAGUUUGAUCAACAAGUCUCUGGUAUUUGGUAUUACAUCUCAAUAUUCAAGCCACCGCUGCCUUUCAGUAGACUAACUCCUACAUAAACAAAAUUGUGAUCUAAAUUUUGCACUAAAUUUAAACUUAAAAUCUCAAACAUAAGUAAAAAUGUAUUCAGGUGCUCUUUGUCGGUACCAAUAUCACAAUUAUGCUCGCAUAUAUUGGACAUAGGAGGCAUCAAGUAGCAGCGUUCACAUUUCUAUCAGCUGACCCUAGUCUACUAAUAGGAACAACCACUUCCUAUGUUGAAUAAAAACUUCCAGAUUACACCAAAAAUUUCCAGGCAACUCAUUUUUCUGCAAAUACUGUGAUGCUCACAUUUACUGACUUUUCAUCAAUUUGAAUUGAAUUAUUUAUAGUUAAAUGAUAAAAAUAUUGACAAUCACAACAAUGUCAUGUACUUAUUACUAAGAUAAAUUAUGAUUUUAUCUAUAUCUACGGGAUAUGCUAUAUAUAUAUAUAUAUAUAUAUAUAUAUAUAUAUAUAUAUAUAUAUAUAUAUAUAUAUAAUACAGAGAAAAAAUUCAUAACAAUACAAUCUUUCCUUUGGGAAGAAAAGUACAGCCAUGAUCACAUAUUUUGCAAGUGUCAUUAAGAAUUUCUCUUUCAAUGAGAAAAGUACCCUGCUAAUAGUGAUAGUCAAAAGCAGUAUGUCCGAAGGAUAGCACGUGAACAGACACAUAUAAAAAGAAUACGGGCAUGAGAAAAAAAACAAUGUCUCCUUUAAGUGACCAUUCAUCUCUUUCCAGUCAGGCCAUUCUCGUCUCUUCCUGACAGUUUGAGAAAAAAAAUCCUCUGCAGUGUCCAUUAAUUUUUUUUAAUAAAUGGUACCCACUGCCUAUUCUUAUCUAACCCUGCAAUUGUUCCACCAGCACAUGCCAUGUUUGAUAUCACCAUCAGUAAGAUGACAAGUUUCCGUGAACAAUUUUAUAGUUAAUACUUAGUUAGCGCUAAGCUUCUGUACAAAAACAUGUUUUGGUUAAUGAAUAUUUAGUGUCAUGUUACCAUCCAGUAACACGUCUUCAGUCAAAGCUCAAUCAGCAGCAUGCAGUAGUCCUGCAACACAUUGUCAUUCAUCAACACACUUUUUUUUUUGGAUACGGUAAAGAUUUAUUAAUUAGGUAACAAGAAGGUACCAAAAUCAAAAGUUACAAAAAGACUGCUGGAGAUAUCCAUACAUCAAUUACAACAUCUCCUUAGCAGCUCCAAAAACUCCAUAUAUUGAUCUAUAUUAUCAAGGAGACUAAUUUUACACCAGCAAACAAAUUAUGUAAACACUUAAUUUAUCUCUAGAAAUAUGGUCUUUUAGCUUAUCAAAACAAGCUUUAUUUUUUUCUAUCCAGAAAGUCUAGAAUAUGCACAAAGGUAUAGUUCUCCAUAUUUGCUUCAAAGCUUUAUGUUCUCUUGUGCUGUCAACUCUCCAAUACUUUCUUCACACGCAGAGGCAUGAUCGAAGAGAUCUCGCAAAUACUGAAGAAAAAUUUCCAACAUUUUCUAGCUAUUCUACAAUAAAAAAGAAGGUGAUUCACAAUCUCCAACUCUUCUUCACAUAUAUAACAUUGAUUACUUAUUGCAAAACCCUUUUUCUGAAGAUUAAUCCUACCAAAACAAGCUAUCUUUAUAGGGCUUUAGUUCUCCAAAUCCCUUUCUAGGGCCAACUAGUAUCCCAAAAUCUUGUUUGCUUGAUUAGAAGGUUAUAACACUUUUUUACUGAAACGGUUACAUCAUUACUAGCUAUCCAUACUAGUGAAUCCCUUUUACUCUGAUCAAUGUGGGUAUAAUCCAGUUGAAGGAUCAAUAGACAAAAAUCAUCAAUUUCCCAAUCAUUCAUAUUCCUUGUAAAAUUCAUAUGACAUCCCGUGUUGGAAGAAAAUUCAACAAGAACUCUAUCUUUGUUAUUGCAACAACUGAAAAAAAAAGGAAAUUUUUGUUUCAAGCACUCAUCACCCAUCCAUAAGUCAGUCCAAAAUCUUAUUUUAACUCCAUUGCUAACCUCAAUUUGGUGAAUUGUUGAAACUUGGCCCAUAACUUACAAAUGUCUUUCCAUACUUCCCCUCUAGUGUAUGAAAUAUUUGAAGGGAGAUUCCAGCCUUGUCUGCUGCCAUAGAUUGCUUCAAUUAUUUUGAUCCAGACUGCCCCUUCGCUCCUGCUAAAUCUCCAAAGCCAUUAACACAACAUGCUUUUAUGCUUUUAUUCUGCAAUCUCAAGUUCCUAAUCCACAACCCACUCCCUUCCUUUGCACUAGUGACCACUUGCCAUCCAACUAAGCGAAACUUUUUGUUGCUACGAUUUCCUUCCCAUAAAAACUUAUUCGUCAUAGAGUUCAUCUUUCUUCCAAUUGCAUCAGCCAUAGCAAAUAAUGACAUUAGAUAGGAAUACAUACUAUCUAAACAAUGUCAGUUUAGAUAGCAUCACGUUAUUAAUCUGCCACACAUAGCCCAGUGCUCUCACCAUCGACAUUGACAUUCAGUAAUCCUUUACCAGUCAACACAGUUGGUGGCAUGUUGUUGUCCAACUAUACAUCACCGUCCAAUAAUAUGUUUCUACUCAGGAUAAAGUGAGCACCACAAUAUUGUCAGGGAUAUGGCAUUAUUUUGUUAUCAGAGUCACAAAUUAUUAGUAACUCAAGUCGCUUCACGAGUUAUAUUAAAAUAUAAGAUAAUUAAUGUCAUGGCAAUAAAUGCACCGCUAUUAAAGUCAAUAUCAGCGUUAUAGUAGUAAGUUGUGUAAUAAUUGUAUAAAUAUGCCAGUACCAAAAUUAACGCAUCUAAUGCACUUCAUUCAAUCCUUUAUCAAUGUAACAACCUGUUUAGUCAUUCGAGCAAUAGAAUCAUUGGUGAUAAAAACUGACUGGGUCGACGGAUCACGCGACGGACCGUCAUCUUCACGACGGACCGUGAUGGACUCCGUCGUUCCCAUACUUGUGUAAUUUCUUCUGCUGCUCUCCUCAUUACCCUCGACGGCAGGUAGGACGAACCGUCACAGGCACGACGGUCCGUUGAGCGUCUUCGUUCCAAAGCAUUUUAAUUAUGAAAUCUGAGUACUGGGGUCGACUCUCUAAACUUCGUGAAGGAACUGCAGGACGGACCAUCAGAGGUUGCGUAACCUCACUAUUGAAUUUAACUCUCUGAACUUUGUGACGGAACUGCAGGAAGGACCGUCACCGAUACGAUGGGCCGUCACAAGUUGUGUAACCCAAACUGGGUCAGAUUUCUGCUAAAAGUUUUAAAGGGGUGUUUUGGACUAUUCAUCAUUUUAAUUAUGGAAUUAGUGGGGUAAGUUUAAUAAAUUAUUUACUUGGGGGUUAAAGAAGAUAAUAAGGAAAUAAAUAGUGGGUUACUUUUAUCAUAACAGAUUAUAUGAUAAUUAGGGUAAAAGAAAAAGAAUCUGCAGAAGGAAAAUAAAAAGAACGGGAAGAGGGGAGAACGAGCGAGAGAGAGAGAACGAAGAGGAAAGCAAAGGCAUUGGGAAGUAUCUUGCUUGAUCACGAUUCUUCGGUGGAGGUAGGUUAUGAUUUGUUUCUAUGUGAUAGAUAAACUCUAAAUAGCGAUUGAUAUGUAUUGGGUGGUAUUGUAAAGUCUUUUAUAUGCUUGAUUGUGUGUUUGUAUGCUGUGAUUGUGUAAUUGUGGUGGUCAGAAUGAUGAGACUGUUGAAUUUUCAAUCUUAAAUCCUAUCUAUUAAGAUGACGUCUUGACAUAAAGAAGGCUUGAUGAACUAAAAUAAUGAGAUAAAUGGAUCAGAGUGUCACGUUCCGACACGGUAGCAUUAGGGGAUCGGAGUGUCACAUUCCGACACGGUAGCAUUAGGGGAUCGGAGUGUCACGUUCCGACAUGGUAGUAUUAGGGGAUCGGAGUGUCACGUUCCGACAUGGUAGCAUUAGGGGAUCGGAGUGUCAAGUUUCGACACGGUAGUAUUAGGGGAUCGGAGUGUCACGUUUUGACACGAUAAUGAUAAAGAGAAUGAAUCUUGAAUUAUGUUAAUAUACUUAAAUUCGAAGAACCUAUUUUCGAAAUGAGUAUGGUGUGGAGGCUUGAGUCCUCAUAGGUGAGCUUGGUGUUGUUGCCAAUGGUUUUGUUACUUGUUGAUUGUCACCUGUUAAGUAUUGUGGUUGAUUUUAUAUUAUUAUUCAGCAUAUAUUGUUUUCUAUUUUGAGUUGGCCGAUGAUACCUACUCAGUACGUGUUCCUUGUACUGACCCCUACUUGUGUUUUCUUCUUUGUUAUUUAUGGAGUGCAGCAAACGUGCCAUCGACUUCGACUCGUCCUCAGAUCUAGCCAGUCUUCAGCAUAUCAGAGUUCAGGGUGAGCUAUUAUUCCUAGCUCGUACUGGAUUCUCUCCUUCACGUCUUGAUGUCUUGAAGUUAGGACAUGGACCAUCUUUUUACUAUUUUUAGCUUCUUAAAUACUCUUAGAUUUAGAAAUUUAAGGAUAGAUGUUCUUGGUGUGAUGACUUCCAGAUUUUGGGAAUAAUAAGUAUUUAACUUUAGAAGUUGAUUUAAUUGAUUUCGUUAAUAAUUUUGGAUCUUCCGCAUUAUUUUUACUAUUCAUAAUUGAUAUACUGGUAAAUGUUGGGGUUUAGAUUUGUUGGUUCUCUCACCUAGGAAGAUAAGUGUGGGUGCCACUCGCGGCUCAUUUUGGGUCGUGACAAACUUGGUAUCAGAGCGUUAGGUUCAUUGGUCUCAUCACACAAGAACGAGUCUAGUAGAGUCUUGAAGAACGGUAGAGGGACACCCUUACUUUUCUUUGAAAGGCUAUAGGACUUUAGGAAAAUUCCAUUCUUUCCUUUUUUCGUGCUAUUACUUGGAUCCAAUUGGUAUCUAGGUGAUACAAAUUGGUAUCUGACAUCCUCACUCUAUUUUGCAGAUGGUUAGAACUAGAGAAACAACUGUGCCAACACCAACACCGGCAAGACAGGGUGUGUUUGAGCCAACCAUUGGGGCUGUAGCUCGAGGAGGAGAAGUGGCAAGAGGCCGUGGUAGAGGUCGCAGGAGGACGUCCUCUAGAGGUAGAGGACAAACACCUGGUCCAGCUAGCAAUAGGGCGGUGACUCCUCCACCAACUGAUGAGGUAGUAAGAGAGGUUGAGGAAGGGGAAAAUGAGCAGGUGCAAGAUGAGGAAUUACCACCCCAACCUACCCCAGAGAUGAUCAACCAGGUUCUUACUUAUCUUAGCGGGUUAUCUGAUCAGGGCCAGACACCUCCAGUGUUUCCUGUACCAGCACCUCAGGUUUCGGGAGUACAACAUGCAACUGCUGUGGCUCCCUGCAUGGAUGCCUCAUUGGAAGUAGGCACGUUUCCUCGAUUGACUACAGGGUCUAUAAUGACGGGUAAUCAGCAUGAACUUUUCACUAAAUUCUUGAAGUUGAAACCUCCAGUCUUCAAGGGUGCUGAAUCUUAGGAUGCCUAUGAUUUUCUAAUUGAUUGUCAUGAGCUGCUACAUAAGAUGGACAUAGUAGAACGAUUCAGUGUUGAGUUUGUGACAUAUCAGUUUCAGUGGAAUGCCAAAAUGUGGUGGCGGUCGUAUGUUGAGUGUCAACCAGCACAGGCACCACCUAUGACUUGGACAUCAUUCUCUAGCUUAUUUAUGGAAAAGUAUAUACCCCGGACUUUGAGGGAUAGGAGGAGAGAUGAGUUCUUAAGCCUAGAGCAAGGAAGGAUGUCUGUUGCUGCUUAUGAGGCCAAAUUUCGUGCGCUAUCCAGGUAUGCCACUUAGCUUUGCUUCAGUCCACAAGAGCAGAUUCGCCACUUUGUGAAAGGAUUGAGGUCAGAUUUGUAGGUCCCAGCCUUACAGGUAGCUGCUGCAGCAAAAUCCUUUCAGGAAGUGGUUGAUUUUGUGAUAGAGGUGGAGGGGGUGAAGCCAGACGACUUCACCAUGGCGUCGACAUCUAAGAAGUUCCGUAAGGAAGGUGAGUUUAGUGGUUCUUACUCCAGAGGGCAGAGUUCAAGAGGUUACCCAGGCCGACCUAUUCAGUCUUCACUGCAGACUGUAGCUGGGGGUCCAUCGCAGACCAGUCAAUAUUUCUCUGUGUUUGGAGGUUAUCCCCAGACUUCAUCAUUCUCACAAAGACCUAUGCUUGACUCCAGAGAUUGUUAUGUAUGUGGAGAGACUGCACAUAUUAGGAGAUAUUGUCCAAAACAGAGUUACAGAACCCCAAUAGUUAGAGGUAGAGGUGGUCAUGGGAGAGGCCUCCAUUCUGGAGGACGUGGUGGCCAAGGUAAUGGUGGUCACCAAAUCAGCCGGGGUGGCGGGCAAGUUGGAGCUACUGCAGCGCAACAUGGUAAGGGCAACAGGCAGACAGGUGACAGGGCCCAUUAUUAUGCUUUCCUCGGGAGGUCUGAAGCAGAGGCAUCUGAUGCUGUUAUCACAGGUAAUCUUUUGGUUUGUGAUUGCAUGGCUUCUGUAUUAUUUGAUCCUGGAUCCACAUUUUCAUAUGUAUCUUCCUCCUUUGCUACUGGUCUUGAUGUAUAUUGUGAUUUGCUUGACAUGCCUAUUCGUGUCUCUACUCCUGUGGGGGAGUCUGUGAUAGUUGAGAAGGUUUAUAGGUCUUGUCUUGUGACUUUUGUGGGGAGCAAUACUCAUGUAGAUUUGAUUAUUCUAGAAAUGGUUGAUUUUGAUGUGAUUCUGGGUUUGACUUGGCUUUCUCCAAAUUUUGCAAUCUUAGAUUGUAAUGCUAAAACUGUGACAUUGGCCAAGCCUACGACAGAUCCGCUAGUGUGGGAGGGCGACUACAUUUCCACUCAAGUUCAUAUCAUCUCUUUUCUUCGUGCUAAGAGAAUGGUUAGUAAGGGUUGUUUAGCUUUCUUGGCACAUUUCAGGGAUGAUACUUCCCAAGUACCUUCGAUUGAGUCUGUCUCGAUAGUCCGUGAGUUUCGGGAUGUGUUUCCUGCAGACCUUCCUGGUAUGCCACCAGAUAGGGAUAUUGAUUUUUGUAUUGAUCUAGAGCCGGGUACUCGCCCCAUUUCCAUACUCCCUUAUCGAAUGACCCCAGCUGAGUUAAGGGAGUUAAAGGCCCAACUUCAGGAGUUGUUAGGUAAAGGCUUUAUUAAACCAAGUGCAUCCCCUUGGGGUGCUCCUUUUUUAUUUGUGAAGAAGAAGUAUGGAAGUUUUCGGAUGUGGAUAGACUACAGGCAACUGAAUAAGGUAACUAUUAAGAACAAGUAUCGUCUUCCUUGCAUUGAUGAUUUGUUCGAUCAGUUACAAGGUGCUUGUACCUUUUCAAAAAUUGAUUUGAGAUCUGGUUAUCAUCAAUUGAAAAUACGGGCAGCAGAUGUGCUAAAGAUUGCUUUUGGAACCAGGUAUGGGCAUUAUGAAUUCUUAGUAAUGUCUUUUGGGCUUACGAAUGCCCCUGCUGCUUUCAUGAGCCUGAUGAACGAGAUUUUUAAGCCAUAUCUAGACCUCUUUGUUAUAGUAUUUAUUGAUGAUAUACUGAUAUACUCAAAGAGCAGGAAAGAACAUGAGGAGCAUUUGAGAAUUGUAUUGGAGUUGUUAAGAGAGAAAAGACUUUAUGCCAAAUUCUCCAAGUGUGAGUUUUGGCUCGAUCUAGUGUCCUUCUUGGGGCACGUGGUUUCUAAGGAUGGAGUGAUGGUGGAUCCAUCUAAGAUUGAAGUAGUGAAGAGUUGGGUAAGACCUACUAAUGUUACAGAGUUAAGGAGCUUUGUUGGUUUAGCUAGCUACUACCAUCGAUUUGUUAAGGGAUUUUCUUCUGUUGCUUCCCAAUUGACAAAUUUGACUAAGCAUAAUGUUCCAUUUGUAUGGUCGGACGAAUGUGAAGAAAGCUUCCAGAGCCUCAAGACCUUGUUGACUACUUCACCAAUUCUUAUAUGGCCAGUGGAAGGUAAGGAUUUCAUUGUUUACUGUGAUGCAUCUUAUUCUUGUUUGGGUGCAGUGCUAAUGCAAGAGAGGAAUGUAAUUUCUUAUGAUUCGAGGCAAUUAAAAGUGCAUGAACGUAACUAUCCGACCCAUGAUUUGGAGUUGGCUGCAGUUGUGUUUGCAUUAAAGCAAUGGAGACAUUAUCUAUAUGGUGUCAAGUGUGAAGUUUAUACAGAUCAUCGUAGUUUACAGUAUGUCUUUACUCAGAAAGAUUUGAAUUUGAGGCAGAGAAGGUGGAUGGAACUACUGAAGGACUAUGAUAUGACUAUUUUGUAUCACCCAGGAAAAGCUAAGUUGUGGCACAUGCUUUAAGUAGAAAGGCAAGAAGCAUGAGAAGUCUAGCCCACUUACAGGUUUCUAGAUGCCCAUUGGCUAGAGAGGUUCAGACUGUGGCUAAUGACUUUAUGAGGCUGGAAAUACAAGAGAAGGAAGGAUUUUUGGCUUGUGUGGAGGAAAGAUCUUCUUUUCUUGACAGGAUUAAGGGAAAACAGUUUACUGAUGAGAAACUGACCCGAAUUCAAGAUAUGGUAUUACGAGGAGAGGCUAAAGAGGCAAUAAUUGACGAGGAAGGCAUUUUGAGAAUUAAGGGAAGGGUAUGUGUGCCCCGUGUUGAUAAUUUGAUUCACACUAUUCUUACAGAGGCUCAUAGUUCAAGGUAUUCUAUACAUCCUGGUGCAACCAAGAUGUAUCGUGACCUAAAGCAACAUUUUUGGUGGAGUAGAAUGAAGCGUGACAUUGUUGAUUUUGUUGCCCAAUGCCCGAAUUGUCGGCAGGUAAAGUAUGAACACUAGAGGCCCGGAGGAACACUUCAGAAAAUGCCCAUUCCUGAAUGGAAAUGGGAAAGAAUUGCAAUGGAUUUUGUGGUUGGUCUUCCAAAGACAUUGAGUAAAUUUAAUUCUAUUUGGGUAAUCGUUGACAGAUUAACUAAGUCUGCUCACUUCAUUCCGGUCAAGGUGACUUACAAUGCAGAGAAGUUAGCCAAACUCUAUAUCUCAGAAAUUGUUCGGUUGCAUGGAGUUCCACUUUCCAUCAUAUCAGACAGAGGUACGCAAUUUACUUCUAAAUUUUGGAGAACAUUGCAUGCUGAAUUAGGUACUAGGUUGGAUCUUAGUACUGCAUUUCACCCUCAGACCGAUGGUCAAUUUGAGCGAACGAUUCAGGUGUUGGAGGAUAUGUUUUGUGCAUGUGUGAUAGAAUUUGGUGGUCAUUGGGAUAACUUCUUACCCUUAGCAGAGUUUUCAUACAAUAAUAGCUAUCACUCAAGUAUUGAUAUGGCCCCAUUUGAGGCACCGUAUGGGAGGAGAUGUAGGUCUCCCAUUGGUUGGUUUGAUGCAUUUGAGGUUAGACCUUGGUACUGAUCUUCUGAGGGAAUCAUUAGAUAAAGUAAAAUUCAUCCAGGAGAAGCUUCUAGCAGCUCAAAACAGGCAGAAAGAACAUGUAGAUCGAAAGGUUAGGACUUGGAUUUUAUGGAGGGUGAGCAAGUCUUGCUGAAGGUUUCACCCAUGAAAGGGGUGAUGCGGUUUGGUAAGCGAAGUAAGCUUAGUCCAAGGUAUAUUGGUCCAUUUGAAGUUCUGAAGCGCGUGGGGGAGGUGGCUUAUGAAUUGGCAUUGCCUCCAGGACUCUCAGGAGUGCACCCGGUAUUUCAUGUGUCUAUGCUGAAAAAAUACCAUAGGGAUGAAAACUACAUUAUUCGUUGGGAUUCAGUUCUUCUUGAUGAGAAUUUGUCUUAUGAGGAGGAGCCUGUUGCCAUUUUAGAUAGAGAAGUCCGCAAGUUGAGAUCAAAGGAGAUUGCAUCUAUCAAGGUUCAGUGGAAAAAUCGGCCAGUUGAAGAGUCCACUUGGGAGAAUGAGGCUGAUAUGCAAGAAAGAUAUCCACAUCUUUUUACAGGUUCAAGUACUCUUUCUCGCCCUUGCUUUUCUUCUUGUGAUCGUUCGAGGACGAACGAUUGGUAAAUUGGUAUCUAUUGUAACAACCUGUUUAGUCAUUCGAGCAGUAGAAUCAUUGGUGAUAAAAACUGACUGGGUCGACGGAUCACGCGAUGGACCGUCAUGGUCACGACAGACCGUGAUGGACUCCGUCAUUCCAUACUUGUGUAAUUUCUUCUGCUGCUCUCCUCAUUACCCUCGACGGCAGGUAGGAAGAACCGUCACAGGCACGACGGUCCAUCGAGCGUCUUCGUUCCAAAACACUUCAACUCUGAAAUCUGGGUACUGGGAUCGACUCUCUGAACUUCGUGACGGAACUGCAGGACGGACCGUCAUAGAUACGACAGACCGUCACAAGUUGCGUAACCUCACUAUUGAAUUUAACUCUUUGAACUUUGUGACGGAACUGCAGGACGGAUUGUCGCUGAUACGACGGGCCGUCACAAGUUGCGUAACCCCAACUGGGUCAAAUUUCUGCUAAAGGUUUUAAAGGGGUGUUUUGGACUAUUCAUGAUUAUAAUUAUGGAAUUAGUAGGGUAAGUUUGAUAAUUUAUUUAUUUGGGGGUUAAAGAAGAUAAUAAGGAAAUAAAUAGUGGGUUACUUUUAUCAUAACGGAUUAUAUGAUAAUUAGGGUAAAAGAAAAAGAAUCUGCAGAAGGAAAAUAAAAAGAACAGGAAGAGGGGAGAACGAGAGAGAGAGAGAACGAAGAGGAAAGAAAAGGCAUUGGGAAGUAGCUUGCUUGAUCACGAUUCUUCGGUGGAGGUAGGUUAUGAUUUGUUUCUAUGUGAUAGAUAAACUCUCAAUAGCGAUCGAUAUGUAUUGGGUGGUAUUGUAAAGUCUUCUAUAUGCUUGAUUGUGUGUUUGUAUGUUGUGAUUGUGUAAUUGUGGUGGUCAGAAUGAUGAGACUGUUGAAUCUUCAAUCUUAAAUCCUCUCUAUUAAGAUGACGCCUUGACAUAAAGAAGGCUUGAUGAACUAAAAUAAUGAGAUAAAUGGAUCAGAGUGUCACAUUCCGACACGGUAGCAUUAGGGGAUCGGAGUGUCACGUUCCGACACGGUAGCAUUGGGGGAUCAGAGUGUCACGUUCCGACACGAUAGUAUUAGGGGAUCGGAGUGUCACGUUCCAACACGGUAGCAUUAGGGGAUCGGAGUGUCAAGUUUCGACACAGUAGUAUUAGGGGAUCGGAGUGUCACGUUCUGACACGAUAAUGAUAAAGAGAAUGAAUCUUGAAUUAUGUUAAUAUACUCAAAUUCGAAGAACCUAUUUCCGAAAUGAGUAUGGUGUGGAGGCUUGAGUCCUCAUAGGUGAGCUUGGUGUUGUUGCCAAUGGUUUUGUUACUUGUUGAUUGUCACCUGUUAAGUAUUGUGGUUGAUUUUAUAUUAUUAUUCAGCAUAUAUUGUUUUCUAUUUUGAGUUGGCCGAUGAUACCUACUCAGUACGUGUUCCUUGUACUGACCCCUACUUGUGUUUUCUUCUUUGUUAUUUGUGGAGUGCAGCAAACGUGCCAUCGACUUCGACUCGUCUUCAGAUCUAGCCAGUCUUCAGCAUAUCAGAGUUCAGGGUGAGCUAUUAUUCCUAGCUCGUACUGGAUUCUCUCUUUCACGUCUUGAAGUUAGGACAUGGACCAUCUUUUAACUAUUUUUAGCUUAUUAAAUACUCUUAGAUUUAGAAAUUUGAGGAUAGAUGUUCUUGGUGUGAUGACUUCCAGAUUUUGGGAAUAAUAAGUAUUUAACUUUAGAAGUUGAUUUAAUUGAUUUCGUUAAUAAUUUUGGAUCUUCCGCAUUAUUUUUACUAUUCAUAAUUGAUAUACUGGUAAAUAUUGGGGUUUAGAUUUGUUGGUUCGCUCACCUAGGAGGAUAAGUGUGGGUGCCACUCGCGGCUCGUUUUGGGUCGUAACAAUCAAGCUCAUAUAUAUUUCUACAUUUUCUACAAUCUCCCGAAGGUAUGUAAUCACUCUUCCUAGUUGUCGAGUGCUUCCUAACUUUUAACACCUAUAUCAGGAGGCUCUUGUAUCUUAUUUGCAUCAAGAGAUAAACAUUUUUUUUGGAUAAGCAGUGUAAUUGAUGUAAGAAGGAGAAAUCCACAUAUUCAAUUCGUUUACCAAAAACAUCAAGUUAAUAAGGAUGAUAUUUGUUCUUUCCUAAUUUCCACUUUACCUUAGGUUUUCACAACUAGAAGUGUCAAAUCUUGCAAAAAUCCUUAUAAUUUUAGGCCUCAAAUGACCAUCCUACUAAAAGUAUCAAAAUUUAGAUCAAAGAGUAUGCCCCGCGUCACACUAGAUAUAGUAUAUUGAGACCAUAACUAUCGUUUUGAUACUAAGUUGUCCGGACUCUUCAUUUUUGCUAUAGCACCCUGUCGACAUGACAUGGGUGUGAAAUUCAUACCCAAUCGGGCCAACCGAUUUUAGGUACUUUGACCGAAAUCGAAGGAGAAAUUCCGGAUAGGUUCAAUGAUUUUUGUAAUCAAAACAAAAGGUGAGGUGAAAUUAAAGAAAAUGGAAUAAUAUAGAAAUUUCUUAAGACACUUCCUUUCCUUUUAUCUCCUUCCAAGAUUCUACUCUUAUUAAUAUUUUCUCUCAAAGUUUUCUACAUAACAUCUCAUAAUUUAAGUUUUCUAGAUCUUUUUCCAACUGAAUACCUGCACCCAUAUAUAAACCCUAAAUCUGUAUCCCCAAAUCUUAAAAUUUAGCUCAUGAAGAACCCGACCUCUAGAUUCAUAUCCGUAUCGAAUAUCCGCAACUUAGAAUUGAGGAGCAAAGCUCUUGAAUGAUGAAAUUACAAGUUCCCAUUUGUAAUCAUGAAGGAUUACUAGGAAUACAUCAUCAUAGGCUUAGCUCAAGUGGCAACUGUUGAGGGACUUGUGAUUACGUCACAUGUUCAACCCUUACAUCAUGCAAAUUAAGCCUAAUAUUAAAGUGAAAAGGGUAGAAGAACAGACCCAUAUUUCCAAGUUUUAAAGGUUGUUGUUGGUCCUAAGGGUUGGCCCCAACGAAAUUCUUGAUCAAAAAUUUUUCAUCAAUGCCGAGACUAUUGAACUAACUACAAUCAACGAAAUAACAAAAACUAACAAACUAAUUAAACUAAUGAACUAACUACAACUAAGGAACUAACUAAAACUAACGAACAAUUACUCCUUCCUCUAAUGUUGAAUAGUUCAUUUGACCAUAAGAAACCAUCUAAUACUACUAAAUAUCAACCAUGCAUAUCAGCUACCUCCCACCAAAACAAAUAUCAGGUAUUCCAUCCAUCAAGACUCAAACGAAUAGAAAGAAGUGACAUACUAUUUUCAUCCUUUGCUUAGAUUUGAACGUGAGACUUCAUAAUUCUCAUCCCACCUCAUUAACCACUAUUCCACAAAAUUUUAAUUCUUCACAGCUAUUUAAAGAAUUUGAAAUCAAGAAUUUGAAAUAGCCAUCCACAGAAAGUAACAAACCAGAAACACAACACAAAGAAUCCCACAAACACAACACAAUUCCAACACCCCCAACCCCAAAAGACCAAAGCUUUCAUUUUUUUUCUGAUCAACACAAGCUAACUCUUAAAAUAGUAAACCUCACAUCAAAUUUCAGCAAAGUAACACCAACCCAUCAAUCGUUAUUACAAUAUAACCAUGCCCAAUUAUCAAUAAACUUCAAAACAAAACAUAACCUCAACAAAAAAAAUCAAAAAAGAAACUCAAGAAAGCAAAGUUAUUUUUAUACAAGUAUAUAAACUAGUAAGAGGUACUUAUAUUAUUGGCUUUCCAAGACUAGUACACACGCUUAGGUUGUUUAGCCAUGAAAGAUUGAUUCUUUGUCACUUUGCUAAAGCAACAAGAAGAAGAAACAAGUAAAAAUUAUUUACUGUCAUUAAAUUUUUUAAUCCUUUUUUGGCUUUUUUUUCAACUUUUAAAUGACGCUUAUGUGGUUCAAAUGCGGUGGAUUUAAUGAUGGUUUGUUAGCUUUUUCUUUUUUUAUUCUAUAGUUUUUUCCAUUGAUGUAAUAAUUUUUUUUUUCUCUUUUUCUUUUUACUUUCCGUUUUAAUCAAUUAGGACAUUUCUCUUUUUACCUUUGACCAGAGAAAUUCAUUUGUUGUAAAAAAAAUACUAAUUUAAAACAAAUAAAAGAUUAUGUCACUGUAAGAUCUCUAUAAAUUAAUACUUAAUAAAUUAAUAAUCUCACUAAAUUAUUCUUUUUCUCCGAUUCCGACUUCGGUCAAUGAAAAGAAUCACCAAUUUCGAUAAGAUAAUAUAUGAUCCCAUUAAUAUCAUAAAUUAAUAAUUCUUUUAAAAGUAUAAAUAUAUCUAAAAAAAAUUUAGUGAUAUAUGAUUCUUUGUGAAUUUUUUCUUAAAAUUUAAAUUUAAUUGAAGUUCAUCUCUAAUUUUUCUUAUUGCAUCCAAGAGCUCUAAUGUGUUGUUCUUUCAAACUGCACCAUAAAAUUAUAAAGAGUUCUAGAUGCGAUAAGUGUUUCCUUAUGCAUAACUAGUUCUAAAGAUAUUGUAUCAUCUUCAACUUCAUCGUCGACAUAUUUUUCUUGAUGGUAUCCACAAUUUCUUCUAAACUUUGGACCUCUGAACAUGUAUCACUUUCACCCAAAUAAUCCAACAGGUUACUGACAUCCAUUUUAUUAUGGUAAUCAAGAUCAUUAAUCAUGACCUCAAGUUCAUGAAUGACGUUUUUACAACUGAGUCCAUUCAAAUUCUCUGAGAUUGUAUCCCUGGAAUGAAUUUUUAUAGUGUUGAAAAUAAUUUGCUAUUGUUUCUUGUCUGAAAAUUUGUUGUCCAAGCAGAGUGUCACAUUCCGACACGGUAGCAUUAGGGGAUCGGAGUGUCACGUUCCGACACGGUAGCAUUGGGGGAUCAGAGUGUCACGUUCCGACACGAUAGUAUUAGGGGAUCGGGGUGUCACGUUCCGACACGUAGAAUUAGGGGAUCGGAGUGUCACGUUCCGACACGUAGAAUUAGGGGAUCGGAGUGUCACGUUCUGACACAUAGCAUUAAGGGAUCGGGUGUCACGUUCCGACACGUAGCAUUAAGGGAUCGGGUGUCACAUUCCGACACGUAGAAUUAGGGGAUUGGAGUGUCACGUUCCGACACGAUAAUAAUGAAGAGAAGUAAUUUUGAAUCAUGUUAAUAUACUCAAUUCGAAGAACCUUUUUCCCCAAAUGAGUAUGGUGUGGAGGUUUGAGUCCUCAAGGGUAUGCUUGGUGAUGUUUCCAAUGGUUAUUGUACUUGUUGAUUGUCACCUUUUAAGUAUUAUGGUUGAUUUCAUAUUAUUAUUCAAUAUAUAUUGCUUUCUAUUCUGAGUUGGCCGAUGAUACCUACUCAGUACUUGUUCCUUGUACUGACUCCUACUUGUAUUUUCUUCUUUGUUAUUUUGUGGAGUGCAGUAGGUGCGCCAUCGACUUCGACUCGCCCUCAACUUUAGCCAGUCUCCAGCAUAUCAGAAUUCAGGGUGAGCUAUGGUUCCUAGCUCGUGCUGGAUUCUCUCAUUCGCGUCUUGAUGUCUUGAAGUCGGACAUGGACCAUCCUUUUACUUAUUUUAUCUUCUUAAUACUCUUAGAUUUAGAAAUUUGAGGAUAGAUGUUCUUGAUGUGAUGACUUCCAGAUUUUGGGAAUAAUAAGUAUUGAGUUUUAGGAGUUAUUUAAUUGAUUUUCGUUAAUGAGUUUUGAGUCUUCCGCAUUAUAUUUUGUUCAUUAUGGUUGAAAUAUUGGUAAAUGUUGGGGUUCAGAUUUGUUGGUUCGCUCACAUAGGAGAAUAAGUGUGGGUGCCACUCGCGGCUCGUUUUGGGUCGUGACAUCACCAAUUGGAUGGCAUAGCACUUGCUAACAAAUGGGGCAUGUAACCACUGUUUGCGAGUGUUUGGAAAUUGUUGUAAUUAGAAGAACUUGACAUUUAACAUUCUCAAAAGUAAAAUUAGGUGAUUGGACAAAGCGCACAAUCUUGUGCUUUUGCUUCUCAAGCUCAGUAGAAGGGUGAAGCAAAUCAGUGUCAUUUGAAAUCUUUGGAAUAUCCAUAUUGUCUUGAAGUUUUUUUACGAUAACAGAUGUUGCAAGUUGCUCCAAGAAAAAAAAUCCUAAGCUCUUUUUCUUCUUUUUUAUGAUGCAAACUAUUUAUGUAUAAAUUAGUAACUAACAUUGUAUCAUGAAUAAUAUCACGACUUAUGUAUCAAGAAAUCAAAAAUACUAAUUCACAAUACAAAACAACUAAUUCAAUAUAUUUUUAUCAGAUCUUUGUAUCUUGAAAUUGAAGUUGUGCUUUACUUUAUAUUUUGCUAUUACAAAGAUAAGCUGCUUUACGAGUACCUUUUUACUCAACUUCAACACGUACAAAUUCUAUCGGAUGUAGCAUCAAAAUAAUGUAUCUCUCCACCCAUCAUUUCUAUUGUUACAAUGGCAGAUUUAAGAUUCAAUUCAGUUGUAAUGGUGGAUCUGAGACUUACAAAAGAAAUCGUUUGUCCAACAACUAUUCAAUCACUAUUAUAUCAUUCAUAAUUCAGAUCACACACCCAAAAUCUGAAAAAUCUAAAAAGAAAUCGAUAACCUGAUCAUGUAGAAGUAAUCAUGGAUCGUCUAUUUUUGAUAUGUUAUGAUUUUUGGAAUAGAUGGAGGAGAAGAAAAUUUGAAUUUUGAAUUCUCUAAAUCUGUUAGGGAUUGGAAUAGAUUGAUAUCAAUUUCUUUUCCGCGAUUUGUAUACUGAUAAUUAAUUUUACAUUUAGGUUACUUUUUAAGCGCAACAAGUUAUUUAAGGUAUCAGAUGCUAUGUAUUUGGUUGAGUAUAAUGUAUCCGGAUGCUACAAUUUCUAAGGGAGUUUUGUAAAAUAGAAAGAGUAGGGAUAGAUGUAAUUUAGAUUUUACACUAAAUUAUGUAAGUUAUACAUGAUAAAAUAACACAUAGUAAGUAUUUUUUUUUAAAAAAAAGAGAGAGGGUUGUUAGUUGCAAGGUUAUAAGUGAGCAAAAAGGAGUGUAAUUCUAGGCAAAAAAAAAGAGUAAAGGGGUAUUUUUAAAUCAAAAGAUAGACGAAGAGUGUUUUUAGACCUUUUCUUGUAGUUCAGUGAUAUUUUUGACCCUUUUUCGUGUCAUAUAUGUAAUUUUUUUUAUGUGAAAUGAAUAAAAUAUGAUACAUAAAUUAGUAUAAUAUAAUUAAAAUUAACCUUCAUUAAAUCUCAAAUUAUUCUUUAAGUUAAUAAAUAUUAAUUUAUUGAUUAAAUAAUAUUUUUAUAAAAUAAUAAAAUUUUAUGGUCCCUCCUAUAUAAAUUUAUAGAGGUUUUACUAUAAAAGGUUAAUGUCUAGUGUAAUGCUUUGUUAACUAUAACAUUAGUUAUUAAUAUGAUAUACUGAGUUACAUGACUAUUAUUUUAUAUUAAAUCAUAUAUAUUAAAAAAAAUUCCUUUAAAAUAACUUGUGCAUAAGGCCUUUGAUUAUUCAUUAUCAUUUAAAUCCAUUGUCAAUAAGAUAUCUACUAUUCAAUUCUUUAAUUUUUUUAUACCAAUAGCAAUAAAUUUAUUAAGUUUCUUUGAUUGUCUAAAUUCUUUGACAAUGAAUGAGAUUUUCCUUUAAAAUACUGCACAUAUAGUUCAUUUUUGUUUUAAAAGUAUUCCUCGUUUGAUUUUUACUUGUCCACUUUUAACUUUUAUUUGUUUCAUAAAAGUAAUAAUUCAUGAAAGUAUUUUACUACAUUAUAUCCAUAUUAAAAUAGUAUUUAGUCUUUGCUUACGUUGGAACAUACUAUAUGAAGUAAUAUUUUCAAUAAUCUUUAUACAAUUUAAUAUUAUACUAUAAAAUUACAAAUACUAUAAGUUUAAAACAUCAAAACUAAUUCAUACAUAUUUGGUAAAAAGAAUAUUUAUCCUUUUGAAUUUUGCAACCAAAACAAAUAAAAAAGAACGCAUACUCAUCUUGUAAAGAUUAUUGGUAGUUGUUGACUAAUAGCUUUUUAUAAAAUUAUAUGUAAGUUAUAAUCACAAAUACUUAUUUUCAAAAAAAUACACAAAUAUAUAAUAAUUAUUUUUUUAAUCAUAAAGGAUGGGCAGAGCCCAUUUGAAUUAAAAAGAAGGGAAAGAAACGAGGGAUUACAAACAUGAUACAACUAAAUUGGUACAUCGAGCUAUGGGUGUAUUUCAUAUCAGACGUUAACAAGUCUCACUAACAUCAUGAAUUCAUCCCAAUGAAGACUCCUUCAACUCAAUGAAACAAGGGAUUCCAAAUUCUAAAUUUUGUUGAAACUCAGUCUUUUCCUUCUACCUCUCACCAAAAUGUGAAAGAAUAUUGUAUUUUUUUCCCUUCUAGAAACCACAAAAUUUCAGCUUUUUGUCGCCAAUACUCUUCCUUAAAAUGCAUAUAUUUUUUCAAUUAUGCAUGAGCCUGAUGUAGAAUUCUUCUAUUAUCUUCAGUGGGGGUAGCUUCAAAUAAUUGCUCCUUCACCCUUACAAUUUCUUCCCUGAUAAAUAAUUGCUUGAAAAUAUAUCUAAAACAACUUUACUCCAGUUAGACAAGGUUGUUUUGGUAUUUUUCAACUUUUGUUUCAAAUUGAUAAACACAUCAAUCUCUUCUGAAACCCAACUGUUUUUCACUACCUGAUGGAAUUUGGAUCUUUCAGACCAAAAUUUAAGGAACCUGAAAGUUCUUGUAGGAGAAUUAGACUUUUGUCCACAAGAGAGUAACAUGGGAGCAUGAUCAGACACUGUUGUUGCCAAAUGUUCUAAUUCUACCAUCACGAAAUAUCCCAAACAAUCUUGAUUUAUCAAGUAUCUAUCAAGCCUUUUGAAGAUAGAUUGAUUAUGAAUCCUCCCAUUCCACCAUGUAAAAGGGCUCCCUCUAUAAUUGACAUCCACAAGAUCACAAGAAAUUAUACAAAAUGCAAAAUACUCAUACUCAUUAGGAUAUACAUGCGAACCACCAACUUUCUCCUCUUCACUCCGAAUGACAUUAAAAUCACCCUCAAUCAAACAAAGGACAUUCUAAUAAGUAUUACUAAUAUACAUGUCAUUCAAUAAUUGUGCCCUUUCCUCGGCAUCACAUUGACAUGAACUAUAGACACAAUCAAAGGAGAAUUAUUUUCUUGGAAAAGUAACCUAAGAGUCAACACAUUAUCAGAAUCAGACAUCACCUCCACUUGAAUACGAUCUUAAAUGAAUACCAAAAUUUUUCCAUUGCAGUUAUAAUUAGCAUGCUUCAUGCCCAAUCUCCUUUUGAACCUUUGUAUAUUAUUAACAUUUUGAAAAGGCUCCAUCAAACUAUGCUAGAAAAUUUGUGAAAUCUGUGUAAGAUUUGAAUUCUAUUGAAUGAAUUUUGAGAUCUAAUAGACCCAAUCCUGGUCCCCUUUUGAGGAUUAGAUCUUUUAGGAAGCACUUCCCCUUUAUUUUUGCCUUUAGGAGUUCGUGUUAAUGAUGGAGAAAUGCCUGCAUCUUUAUAACUUAGAUGCUCAAUUUGCAAAACUUCUUUAUGUUCUAUAUCUUCAUUUGCAUCUCUGUUAAAUAUUUCUUGAUCCUCCGCAGCCCCUAGGUGAGACACCAUCUCAUGUAAGGUUUGAACUGGUUGUGAUUUAACACAAGCCACUUUCAACUCCUAAUUUUUGUGUUCCUUCUCCCUAUGCACAGAUACAGACUCCUGCAUAUGAGGUGGAAACCCCCCUCUUUUGACUCCAAAUUUGUGAAGGAAUUUGAAAAGUAGCACUUUCGAGACUAUCUUCCAAAAGCUUAGUGAAGAUAUGCUGCUGAGCUAAACCAUCAAUAUUGUUAUACUAUUAAUUUUACAAUAUUAAUUAAUAGCAAUGAAAAUUAUAUAAAAUAUUACGUUACAAAAGGUAUAAAUUACCUAUCCGUUCCAAAUUACCUAUCUGAGAGGUCGCAUACAAGCCUACAUAUGUCAUACUUACUUUAUCUAGGUUAAUUUUAGCGGAAAAUUUAAACUUUUUGUUUUCUUAUUUCAUGCAAAACAUAUUAUACUUAACAUCAUAGGCAUUCACAAAUCAACCAUCUAAUAUAGAGAUAAUCAAAUGAAAGAAGCAAUUCAUAAUUGCGUUAAAUGUAUUCUUGCCAAAACGACACCAAUACAAAGUCCGAAAUGAAAUGGGAAUUGAAACACUAGUGAAAUAUGCUCCACUAGAUAAAGCCUACAUCUAAGCUAGAUAAUAAUGGUAGACAUCCUCGAAAGCAUGAGGGCCUACCAAGUCCGGAUGUAAGUUCCAUAUCCGGAUAGCUACAACAUCGUAUCGUAAGCUCUAACGUCCACUUGUGCCUACACCUAAAAGUAGAUAUUGUAUGGGAUUAGUACACACUUGUACUAAGUAUGGGUAUAUGCAAGCACACACCAAGGACAUGCAUGAGUAAGAAUUGCUUUUAUUAAACAACAUGAUUCAUGAAAAGUCAAGUCAGUAGAUUUUCCAAAUUUGGAUUAGGAAAGAUAGUGAACCUGGCAAAUUUGGAUUAGGAAAGUCAUGCCAUGAGAGUAACACGCAUCAUCAUACGUAUCGUAUUGCGCACAACACUUAACAUCUUACACAUAUCACAUAACAUAUUGCAUAUAACACAUAACAUCUUUCAUAUCAUUCGUUCAUAUGCCAUGAAACUUUGGAAUCAUGGACUAGAGAUCAAGACUUCCCAAAAAUGAGGGCUCAACAUAUGAGACCUCAACUACGGAACCUUCUUUAGCAAACACAGAGUCUGCUUCAUUCAUUCAUACGUACUUCACUUCAUAUAUUCAUAAGCUAGUGUAGACACCAGCUAUACCUAAGAUGUAGUUUAAGACUUUCAUCGGGUUUGAUGUGCAAUGAUCAAGAAUGACCUAGUGUCAUUACUUAAGUCUAUCUCACCUCUUGAUUAUUCUAUCCUAACACCUUUGGUAUCAUUCAUUUCUUUAUGUGCAUCAUUAGAGGCUGACCUCAUUCAUUCUUUGGGAACUUUAACUUUAAUCGAUAUAGAUCAUGUGAGCAUCAUGAAAUUCAGUGUCUGCCCCACACCAAAAAGAGGUGGAAUCACCGGCUAAAGUGACCCAGAACAUGCUAGCAUAUAUAGGGGAUUGAACCCUGCUAGAUUCCUAUAUUUUGGCAGUAUAGGUUCAAAGACUAGGAGAUAUAAGGAUACCCAUACCCAGCAUUUCGGACAGUCCCAUCUCAUGAGAGUUACGUGAACCUCCGCCCUUCCUGAAAAAGGCAUCACCGCUCAUAGCUAGCCUAUCGGUGCUCAGUAUAAAGUUCCAUUACAUUCAACUCAUACAUCAUGGAAGCUGACUUCUAGCAUGAGGACAUCAUAACUCAUUAGGUGAUUUCUCAUAUCAUCAUUAGUAUUUUGUAUGCAUUAACUUCAAUACUUUCAUUAGAGUGUUCAUAGAGAUUGGUCUCUUUAUUAACUUUACACUCUCAUAGGUGAGUACGUUUUGGUAACAUUUACUUAGGCUCAUUUGAGAUUGUUCUCAUAUUUUACAUUAGCCACAUAUCAUGUUGUCACCACAUUCAUUAACAUUUGCACAAUUGUUCUUCAUAAUUACUCACCCCAUUUUUACAUGAAUGUUCAUUUCCUCAUAUGCCAAUGCACUUGGCCAUUUGUGUGUUUCACACUCUUACUUUCCCCUUCUAGGGUUUCAUCAUUUCAUUACAUAAUAAUUAUUUCAUCAUAUGUCAAUGGACUUGUCUCGAUUCGAUCUAAGUAGGUGACAUUAUUCUUGAACAUUUAAUUCACGUAUGACUUAUGUAUCAACACAAAAAUUUGGUCAAGGAAACCCAAGUUCGAAUCUCUUGGAUAACACUUACAUUUUUCCUUGAUUUUAUUUUUAGUCCUCAUGACAUUGAGACCCUAGAUCGAGCCCCAACAUCAACAUUUCUUUUUAGUUCCUUUUCUUCAGAAACUCUCUCCCUUGGCCGAGGGGUUGUGGGUUCGAACCUCUACAACCCCCUUUUAUUUUUCUAUUUAUAUUCCUUGUCUAUAUCGCAUUAACUAGGAGGUUGUGAGAUCAAACCCCCACAACCUCUCUUUAUUUUUCUUUUAUUCAUUUAGGACUGAGAGGUUGUGGGUCGAACCCCCACAACCUCCUUAUUUUAAUUUCAUUUAAAUGUUGACUAUCUCUGCGUUGGCAGUGAGGUUGUGGGAUCGAGCCCCCACUGCCUCACUUUAUUUUCUUUCUUAUUUUCCCUUUCUCUUUUACUAUCCUUCAUAACCUUGAGGUUGUGGGUUCGAUUCCCACGCCUCACAUUACCUUUCUUUUAUUUUUUUCCUUUACUUCACUCGCUGCCUGGAGGUCGUGGGUUUGAUUCCCACGCCUCCCAUUUUAUUUUAUUACUAUUUGUACUCUUUUCAGCCAGCAUACCCCAUAUCGAUUUCACCUGACCCCAUUUCUUUUCUUGCGAUUUCAAGCCAUUACACGGGUGAGGUCACAGGUUCAAAUCCUGGUGGCCUCAUCCCUUUAUACUCAACUAAAUUUCAUAGUUAUUCCUCUACAUUUAGCCUAAACUAAACUUGUAAGUUUGCUGGAAAUUUAGUCAUUUUUUUAGCUUAUUUUCACCAACAUUUCACUUGAAAUCUUAGGGAAUUCAUAGAUCAUCUAACACUUUUUGGGGUGUAUUUUUAUAGAUUCGUUUAGCCAAAAUAUUUAUACUCAAAUCAGCCACACUUCCAUUUUAAUGAACAUCACGAUUUACAUAGGUUUAUGCACGUAAAAUGAUAACCAAAACAUUAUCAAAUUGAAGCCUUAAUCCGAGAACCUCAUUCAUUGUAACAUAUUUGCACACGCACACACUUGCACAUAAUUUCGAAUACGUGGUUGUCUUUCAUACGAUUUGAAGUACACAACAUAAUCAUAUCACGAAAACAUAACAUAUACCUAAAUCUACUAGCAAUCAUACUAAACUUACGAUUCAUUGGGAGCUAGUGACAGGGGCAUGCAAAAGGGGAAACAAUUCUAAUUUGCGGAUGAAUAAUAUGAACCUUAAGGGGUCUCUUGGGAAAGGGACCAAGAGAGAAGAAAACCCAUACCUUUUUGACGUUAAACUCGUGACUUGCUGCCCAAAAACUUCACCCAAGAACACGUCUAAGCCUCCUCAAUAUCAACUCCACUCGAAUGACAACCUCCCUUAGCCUAGUGUGUGAUUAACAUUUGCUUUCUUGUGAUUUCGUGAGUUCUUCAAGUGUGAAGAACUUGGUUUAUUUUUUUCUGCUUUUGUAUCUUAUUUUGGCAGGGAAAAUACGUGAGAAAGAAUAAGAGAGAUUGAGUGUGAGAGUGAGAGUGGAAAGAUAAACGUGAGAGAGUGGGAGUUGUAGGAGGCUUAGGGGUCUAGUUUUAGAACUUAGUCAAUUUUUAAUAAAAAUCUGAUUUCCAUUUUAUUUUAAAUCAGCUAAUGAAUAAGAAUUAUUAAUUAAUUACAUUAAUUCAAUAGCUUAAAUAAAAAUCAUUUAAACUCAUUGCUUCCACCUAGGUUCGAACCCGGGUGGAGCAAGACUUCACUUCAUGAGCCUAUUUUCGGGCCCCUCUCCCGAAAUUGCCCUUCCACCUUAUUAAUUAGAUAAUUAAUUACAUAUUUAGAGUAAUUACGAAACUACCCUUCAUCAGGAAAAAGACCAUUUUACCCCUAGACCCUUCAACCUAAGAUUUCCUCUUUUUAAGUCCCGUAAAGAUUCCUUCGAGUAAAUCUUCGUAUUCGAGAGCCCUAAAUGGUUGGACCUAACCUUUUCAAGUUCAACUAACUCCCUAAGUUAGUUGUCUUGGCUGUAGCAAGGGUUCCGAGGUCUGGUUCUACGCGCAUCAGUCCGUGUGAACUCUGGUCUAUUCAUAGGCAUUCUUGACACAUUAAACAUUUCUUAUCUUAUCCAUUUUUAGGGUUGUUACAAUAAGAAAUAGACAAGACCUCAUAUGCGUUGUGACAAGGAUUUACUCCUAACUUGAAAUUUCUGAAAGUGUGGGGUGUUUGGCUAAGGUUGGUCUACCUGAUUUUAAACGAGUAAAUGUUUGAUCUAAGACUUUUGAUAUAGUCUUUAUUGGUUAUGCUCAAAAUAGUGUUGCAUAUAGGUUUAUGUCUCUAAGUGACCAUUCUAUUUGUGAAUCUAGAGAUGUAGAAUUUUUUGAGCAUAUUUUUCCUUUAAAAAAUAAUGUGCCGAGUGAUGUGAAAAAUAAUGCUUCUACAUUUAUGUCUAUUAUUUCUCGUGUUGUACCUUAAUCUAGAGUUAAUUAUAAUGAAUGUGAAAAAGAACUUAGAAGGAGUAAGAGACAUAGAAUCGAGACAAGUUUUAAUCCUAAUUUUAUCACUACUUUCUUAACUGAAAAUUUUGAUAUUAAUGUUGUAAUGAUGAAUUAGUGUCUAUCUAUUUAAUAGAAGAAGAUCCUAAGACUUUUAAUGAAGCAAUGAGAUAAAUAGAUGUUAUAUUUUGGAAAGAGACUAUUAAAAGUGAAUUAGACUCUAUAGUUUGUAAUCACACUUGGGACUUGUAUGAUUUACCUAAAGGUUGUAAGACAAGAAGUAGCAAGUGGAUAUUUAAGAAGAAAUUGAGACCUGAUGGCACAAUUGAUAAAUAUGAGGCUAGACUUGUGAUUAGGGCUUUUAACCAAAAGAAAGGUGUUGAUUACUUUGAUACUUAUUCUCUUGUGACUAAAAUAGCAACCAUUAGAACUCUUAUUGCUUUGGACUCUAUUCGUGACUUAGUGGUACAUCAAACGGAUGUCAAAACAACAUUUCUAAAUGGUGAUUUAGAGGAUGAGAUCUAUAUGACUCAACCCGAGGAUUUUGUGGUUUCAGGACAAGAGAAUAAAGUAUGCAUACUGAGAAAGUCCUUGUAUGGACUAAAACAAGCACCUAAGCAAUGGUAUGAAAAAUUUAAUAACACAUUAGUGGAUAAUGACUUUGUUGUAAAUUCAUCUGAUACAUGUAUUUAUUCUAAGAUGAUAGGUUCAUAUUGUGUCAUUAUAUAUUUAUAUGUAGAUGACAUGUUAAUCUUUGAUCCUAAUGUGAAUGUUAUUAAUGAGAUCAAGAACUUUUUAUCAUCUACAUUUGAGAUGAAAGACCUUCGUGAAGCAGAGGUGAUUUUGAAAGUUAAAAUCAAAACAACUGUUAAUGGUUUCUCUUUGUGUCAGUCUCAUUACAUUAAAUUACAAUAAAAAGAUGUUGAAAAAGUUACAUUUUUUUGAUGUAGUUACGGUGAGAACUCCUUAUGAUCCUCUCAUACACUUCAAAAAGAAUAAAGAAUCUAGUAUUUCUCAAACUGAAUAUGCUAAAAUAAUUUGGAGUGUUAUGUUUCUCAAACUGAAUAUGCUAAAAUAAUUUGGAGUGUUAUGUUUCUCAAACUGAUAUAGUUUAUGUUGUUGGUAGAUUGAGUAGAUAUACGCAUAAUCCCAAUAGUGAGCAUUGAAAUACUCUUCAUCGAUUGCUAAGGUAUUUGAGAGGUACUAUGAAUUGGUGUUUGCAUUUUAAAAAAUUUCUUGUUGUUUUAGAAAGAUUUUGUGAUGCAAAUUGGGUAAUUGACAAUGAUGAAGUUAGCUCCACCAGUGGCUAUGUGUUUACUUUUGGUGCAGGUGUUAUUUCGUGAAAGUCUUCCAAAUAGACUUGUAUAGCACGUUCUACCAUAAAAUCUGAAUUCAUUGCUCUCGAGUUGGCAGGGUAAGAAACUGAGUGGUUGAGAAAUCUUUUGGCGGAUAUGUCAUUGUGGGAAAGACAAGCAUCACUAGUCUCUCUUCACUGUCACUCACAAGCAGCAAUUGGAAUUGUCAAAAAUAGUGUGUACAAUGAAAAAAAGAGACAUUCGCAUCAGACAUGGUGCAGUUAAACAGUUGUUAAAACUGGGUGUUAUUUUCUUGGAAUAUGUAAGGUUCGAAAGAAAUUUGGAGGAUCUUAUGACCAAGGGCUUGACAAGGAAAAUAAUCCUUGAAACGUCGAGGGGGGUGAGACUAAAGCCCAUUGAUUUAGGUAAUGUGGUGGACUUGUUAGGCCUCAAUAUACACCACAUUUUAUAUCUUUAUGACGUGAGACACUGUUUUAUAAAGUUGAACUUAUUUUGCUUUUAAUGAUUCUAUAGUCGUAAGUGGUCUAUUUGAGAUAGACUUGAUGGAGUCACCUGCGUGAGUGUAAAGGUGUGGUCGCCUGUUAUGAAAGAAUUAAUCGCCUUUUUAGAACACUCAUAAGACCUAAGGUAUGUGCAUGACCAUAAAAGCACUUUGUUCGUACACAGAGGUUGCUUAAAAUUUAAGGAUAUAGUAUUUGUUAUGGGGGUCUCAAUUAUAUACAUUCAGUUCAAGAGUACUCCACUUUGGAUAUUGAGUUGUUGCUCCAUUUCACUAUGUGUUAAUUCAAAUCUAAAGAUAUUGACACUUAAGUACAUGCUUCUUCUUCCUUUUGCCCAAAAUGUGUUCUUACUCUUUAUCUUUAUGUUAGUGGGGGAUUAUAAUAUCAAUUUUACAACAUUAAUUAAGAGUAAUGCAAAGUAUAUAGAAUAUUACAUUACAAAAGGAAUAAAUUAGUUAUCCAUUCCAAAUUAUAUUUUUAUUAAAGUGUGACGUAAUGACUUUUAAUGUCAUUAAGAUUUCACAUACGUUUCUUAAGAAUUUAUUUCUAUUUGCAGCUCCUAUAUAAAUAUGUAUUUUGAAUGAGCAUAAAACACCACUACCAACAAAAAAAAAGUAACAUUUUCUUCUUAUCUUAUUCUUAAAAUAAAUAUUGGGUAAUUGAUUGUGGGCUACCUCCAAACUUUCAACCACGAGUGCACAUGUUUGAGAACACUUGUGGCAGUGACUUACACGACACAAUAUUUGUGCUAAAUUAUUUACUAAUUUUAUAAUUUCAUUCUAAUAUCAAUAUUAUAAUAUUUUUCUCCUUCUACCUUUACCAUCUCCAGAUUCACCUCUUUGUUGACCCCUUUAUCCAUCAUCAUAUUAUCUACCAUUUGAAUUGAAAUUCCCUUGUCAAUAUGAUUUGUACUCACACUUUGUCACCACCUUCAAUGGCUUCCACUUCACUUGAUCAAAUGAAUUAUAGUUUUGGAGAGUCCCCUCACUGUCCUUAUCACUCAUUAGAUUUCCAGCUUUCUUUAUAAAAUUUCUAUCAGUGGGCAUCUAUUUGCUCCUUUAUAAAAAGUUGUAUAUAUGUUGGGAUAAAGUCUUGGUAGUUAAUGGUGGAAAAUUAAUGGAUGAACAAGGAUCCAGUCCAGCCAUCGCCGCAAGGUUAUAUAAUUAUGAACUCUUUUUUUUUUUAUGUUAAAUGAGUUUUGCGUGUAAUUAAUAUAAUGUAUACUAAAUUAUAAUUUAAAUUUUAGUGUUACCAUAUAAAUAGACAUUUUGUAAAGAACUUGUUAUAAACUAUACCACUAUUUAUUUGCAUUAGUGGUAUUGAAACUCGUACAUGAAGAGAUCUAUCAUUCUUGUUUGUGCUAUUUAAGCUACAAUUUUAAUAAUUUUAUAUUUAUAUUUACUUAUUUUACCCAAUUAUUUCAAUAAAGAACAUCAGUACCUCAAAUAUUCUACUCUACUCGUUCACUAUCAAUUGUUGACAAACAUUUUACAAACAACUUUUUUUUAUCGUUUUGAUAUGCAAAAGAAAUCACAAUUCAAAUAAUUUUUAUGUAUCUAUAUUUUUUUAAAAAAAAAUCAAAUUAAUCUAAUUGAACUUUGAAAACUAUUCAAAUUAACUUAAAAUUUUUUUGUAAUACGACAAGUAAAAAUAGACACACAAGGAGAACAUUAAAACUAAAAGCUAGAAUUUUAUUACUUGUAAAAUAAAAUUUACUUAUUUUGCUAAAAUAUUCUACAUGCAGCUCCCUUACUAUUCCAAGUCUCCGAAAACAUAUUUAUUUUUUAUAUAUAAUAUAUAUCAUGCUUCAUGAGUAUUAAAAUAUACAGACUUCAAUUAGUUAAAUGCAAACACAAAUUUUUAUUUUUUUUGAAAAAAAUAUUUAUGAGCUAUAUAACAGUCGCAUGUAAACAGCAAAAUAAAUUGACUUAAAUUUUUGUUUUGUCUAAGAAUACGUUCAAGUUUGGUCUAGAAAAAUACAAAUUUCAAUUGAUAUAUGAAGAAAAAAGAAGUACCUAUCAUCACAGAAUACAAACACAAAUUCUGAAGUCAAAAAUAUUGUAUUAUGUUAGAUUAAGGUUAUUAUAAUAAUAUGUAAACAACAAAACAAAUUUACUUUAUAUUUUUGGUCUAGAAAAACUAUAAAAUACAGUUUGGUUAUAUUUGUGAGUGCAAAGGGCUCAUAUCAAGUGUACUUUAUAGAAGGUUCAUUGUGAAGAAAACUCAUGUUCAAAAGAAUAGAACAAAGAUGCACAAUAUAGAGUUAAUAAUAAAGCCACCAACAGCUAUUUAGGGGGCAACUAUAUCACAAACCCUAUGUUAUGCAAAUUUAUCUACCAAAUCUCAUUCAAAAAUGAGAAAUUCUUCACUCUAUCCUCUCUCUUUAUAAUCAUAGCCCAA